AACCAAUGUCAUAGGUAAAGUUGUGAAUCAUGUAUCAUAAAACAUCAUAGUAUCUGUCACAAAUCAAAAUCCCAUAUCAAAACAUCAGAGUAAACUCCCAGGCUAAUACUGUGGUGUGUGCGAUGCCAUCAUCCCAAGCUCUUCCCCUUGCUACUGGAAGUACUUGAAACCAAAACUGAAAUUGUAAGCACGAAGCUUAGUGAGCUCCCCCAAACUACCAGAUACCAUACAUAUAUAACACGCACCUAGGAGAUACACGCCCCACCCACACUCAUGGAGAUACAGGCCCUACCCACACUCCGCUAUCUAGGANNNNNNNNNCCCCCACACACACAGACACUUAAAUACUUCGAGAUACGACCCCACCCACACUUGACUGCUAUGAGAUACAGGCCCCACCCACACUUAGCUACUAGGAAGACAUAAAAGUAUCACACAGAAAAUAAGUAUAACUAAUAUAUCAUUCAGGCAUAUAUCAUAAUCAAACUUAGCUACUAGGAGAUACGGGCCCUGCCCACACUCAACUAACUAAGAGAUACGAGCCACGCCGACACUCGACUACUAAUCAUAACAUGAUGUGAGCUGCCCUUGGUGCCUUAGAACCGUUCCUACUAAAGGGAAACUCACCUCGUAUGACUGACUGCUGAAAACCUGAGUGAGAAAUCCCUGUCUGCUACUCCGAUAACUCUCCGACUAUGAAUUCCAUAAUGACACUUAGUCAGAAACUGAUAACUGUUCUUAGGGUAAAAUGAUAAUUUUACCCCUGGUCAAAGUCAGCAUCCUGAUCAAAGUUAACCUUCCAGGUUGACCAAACUUGCCGAGUCAUCCUUGUGACUCGCUGAGUCCUAGAAUUCAGAACCCUGGAAUCGCGACUCAACCCACCGAGUCACCCCAUGACUCGUCGAGUUCCCAAGCUACUUGCUAUUGCAAUCUGUCGAACUCACUCGUCGAGUCAUCCUCAGAUUUUUCGAGUCCUAUCAUAAACAGAAAAGGGACAAGAUCCUUCUACUCGGUGAGUUCCUUAAUCAACUCGCUGAGUCCCCUUAUGAACCCGUCGAGUCCCUUGCAGAUCUAACCUAGCUAACUAGUUUCACACUUCUACAGCUCCAAAAUACAGAUCUAGAUCGUUUCCAUGGUCCAUUUCUAUAAAGUUGGAGACUUAAUAGCUUUGCACACCUGAAAUAGACCUAAACUCAAUAUAUAGCAACCUACUUUCAUGAAUAUGACUAUGGCUUGGAUGAAAAUGGGUUCAAGACCCUCUUUAUGGAUCUAGAGGCUCAAAAUCACAGAAAAGGAGAAUUGUUUUGCAUGCAAUCCAUGAGGACCACUUUUCCUAAUCUAAAGAGUCAAAAGGACCCAUGAAUCAUCCUACAAAGAUAUUGAAGCUAUAGUUCAUCAAGCUAAGAGCUUUUUACCUCAGAAAGCUGCCCAAGAUGAUUAUACUUCUGGAUAUUUUUCUUCUUCCACAGCCUUGCAAGCUCCAAGCUCUACCAAGUAACUCCAACAACACAAAACACACUAAAAAACUCAAGGAAGAGGCUCACAAUUGAAUUAGGGUUUCUGGAGGACAUGGAGGCUGAUGAGGGAGACCCAAAGGGAGAUUAAGAGGUUUAAAUAGGGUGCAAAACCCCGAAAUUAGGGCUUCCUACAGGCAGGCCUACUCGUCGAGUCCAUGCUUGGACUUACCGAGUGGACUCUUUAAACCCCGCGUCUAAUGUGGCAUAGACUUGACGAGUUAGGGCCACCAAAUCGUCGAGCAACUCGAAUAUAAAUACUUGAUAAAUUAAGAAAUUGCAUAUCAGGAACGGGGCGUUACACUUCAAUAAAUGACUUCAUCUUGAGCAGUUGGACAUUUCUUCAAAAUUUGACUCGGAACGCACCUUAAGUGAGGAUGCUUCAUGAAAAUCAACACCUUCAGCUUGAUAAUAUUCAAAGAGAAUAUCAGAGAGAAUAAAUCUUCUAGAUCACUUCAGCAGGUUCAUAGAUAGUAGCCAAUUGAUUGAGGAGGCCUGAAUUCGAUAUGUCACAUAAAGAACAGCUUCACCUUGCUUAUAAGAUUGAAAGAUUGAAAGUUGAAAGAAUAAUCUUCAUUUCUUGCUCCUUCGAAUGAGAAUUCUUCGACGAUCACGGAUGAAGCUUUGGCUCAGAAAACCUUCGAUACAGUCUCUAUGAGUCUCAUCUACAUCUGAAUUCACUUUUCAAGACAAACAAAACUAAAAUAAAAUUUAGUACAUAAUACUUUUUGAAUUUUCUGAACAAGAAAUAAAACUUAAAUAACACUAUUUUUUUAAUUUUCUGAUUUUUGUUUGAUUUUUGAUUUUUUUUUAAUUUUUUCUCCCCCUAAAUUUGUGCAUAGAGGAAAACUAUGAACAAAGUUAUCAAAAACAAAAAUAAUAACCAAAUUUAAAGCAUUUUGGGAUCAAAGUUCUUAGACAGCAUUAAUUCGUUUUUCAGUACCUCCCCCUUCGUGAAUAGAUCUAGUCAAUCGCCGGUAUUGUGGUCCACUUAAGCUUGAAAAAUUUGUGACAUAUUUUAGACAUACUACAAGUGAUAAGACAUUUGACCCUAUGUUCCUAGAUAGUAUUCCUAAAGGACCAUUCAACUGACGGCAACCAAGGAUAUUAUUGUCCACCUAAAUUGAGCAGCGAGAUCUACAGACAACCUAUUAUUUGUUUAAUUUUAGUUGUACUAGAACAUGUUUCCUGCUUCCAGAUAUACCUCAAUAAUCAAGAACUUCCGAGAUACUCCUUACUUUAGGUGAGUAGACUGUUAUCAAGAGAGAAGAUAGAUUUAGACUGCAUAUGUUAAACACCUAGGUUAGAUCUCUUCCAAUCAUGGAGAGGGGUUAACAUACGACUAACCAGAAGUAGAGGGGUUUAGAGGUAGAAUGGUGCAUAUGCUGUGUUCCAAGUCGGGUAUAUUCCAAUCACGUAGAGGUGACAUCAUAUGGCUAACAGAUAGGAAGAAUUGCAUAGAUAAAUAAUGCUUAGAAAUAGAGUUGCAUAUGUUGCACUCUAGGUUGGAUAUAUUCCAAUCACACAGUGCAUGCAACAUAUGAAUGACAAUAAGAAAGAAUGAAAAUAAUUUUCUACAGACCUACUUUAUCGGAAUUCCCUAGUCACCCUAUCAAUACCGGAAUUAAGCACAUGAGUCCAUACAUCAAGGAAAAGUUAAACCACAGUUCUAGAUACUGAUUCCUUUAAUGUAUCCGGCAGGUUCUCAUGUUUAUCUCCCUACUCAAUCUACCUGAACGUCGUAUUGUCAGGCUAAAUGGAACUAUCUAAGUCAAGAUAUAUCAAGUAUCUAGAUUCCUUAAGUUCAUCUCAGCCUAGUCAAGUCCAUUAAAAUCUUUCGUUCCUACCAGUGCAUCGAACACAGAGCCUAGACAAUUCAGCUUUGGUACUUUAUACAAAUUCAAAUUGCCUGUUAUCACUCAAUUCAUAUCACUUCCCAAUAAUACCUACUAACGAGAAACUAUAAGAAAAUAAAAGAUUGUCUUAAAAACGAAUCAGUUUAAGAUAAACUUAGGAGUAUGGAAAAGAAAAAUCAAACCGUAAGUCACCGAUUGAAUUUGCAUGCAGAAGGUCUGAGAAUGGAAUGCAUAAUAUCAGAAAAGAUUCAAAAAUUCUUCACAUCGUUAAGCACAAACCCCAUGUGUGAUCCUCUCCUUUCUUCCUUUCCCGUAAAGGACACAUACUCUCAAACAAAGUUCUGAAUGUUUUACAGUUGAGAGAUAUCUCCUAUCAUGUGCAUGGACAACCACUCUCAUCAAACUGGAGUCUGAUGAUAUACCUCCAUAGGUGUUUCGACACAGAGCGGGAUCAGUUGGUCUUUGGAACCCAGUCCAUUUUGAAACUAGGUCGACCUUUGUCUUAUUUUUAAGUACUCUCUCCCAUGACAUCAUGUUUAUCACAAACAGAAGAUGAAGAAAUAUUAGAUACAUUAGAUGAUUUAGGAGGAUUGAACAUUAGGUACCCAUUUGUAGUCAGUUUUAACCCGUUUCUUGUUGGAUCGGAUGGGUGCCUCGUUACUUGCUUUUGAACUUGAAGUCGGCUGUCGAGAUGAGUUUGACCUAACCUGUCUUUGUUUCACUGGAGCAUCUCUUGGGUUGGACUUCUUGGCCAACAUUCACUUCCUCUUCUUGUUCUUGGCCGACAUUCCCUUCUUGUUAUUGGACUUCUUGGCCAACAUUCCCUUCUUGUUAUUGGGUUUAACACAUUUAUUGUUGGAUUCCCGGCCUUCUGCACGUUCCAGUCACCAUUGCAUGAUUGUGACCUCUAAUGAUUUCUUUUGGAUAAUCUCCCACUUUGCACGUUCUACUAGCCUUUUGUGUAAUAGGGAACAUAUGCACGAUGAGGGCAAUUUUUGGCAAUGUGUCCAGGUGUGUUCCUUAGUGAAAACAAGUCUUUUUCUUCACGUAGGAAUUGUUUCUGCUUGCCCCUGGUGGCGAACCCUUACCUCGUUUCUGGUUGUUCCCACAUCCACACUUGCUGCAGGAACUUAGUUUAACUUGUGUUGGUGGGCUGUAUUUACCAACAACAGGUUAAUAAGAAGCAACUGAGCUCAAAGCAGCAGAUUCAGAGUUCAAGGAGUCAUUGGUUUGUUCAAUAGUGUUCUCGUUGUUCUCAUCUUCCGCUACUUUACCUGCACAGGAAGUAGAAACAUUAGUAUCUUAUCUCAACACACUCAGUUGGCCCUAAUUGUUCAGUCUUAACUGAAGUUGGUGUAGGGGGUUGGCUAUAGUGUAGGUGUGCUUCAUUUUCAAUUUCUUCCUUAGUCAGAGGGGUGAAAGUGUAGGUAUGAUUGAAAGGAGGAGGAACACUUUCAUACCCUAGACCCUUUUGUUGGUUAUAUUUUAAUUUCAAACAAUUGUCAAUCAUGGACACAAAUACCUCACUUGACACAUCAAAUUUCUUAAAGUUGAAUUCAGCAUCUUUAUAUUUGGCUUUUAAUGCAUCAAGUUCGGCAGUCAUAGCGGCAAGCUCUUUCAGAAGAUAUUUAUAAUUGACCCACUUGUUACUGUAUUCUUCUUGUAGUUUUCAGAAGUCCUUGGUUUUGGUCUCUAAUUGUGCUUUUAGGGGUUUUUGAUAUUUCCUAAGGGUAUACCUAUCAUAUUUUAGGUCCUUAUUUUCUCUUUUUAGUAUAUCUAUUUGUACACGAAGAAACUUAAUCGUAGUUUAACAAGAUUGAGAGCAUGAAACUUCAUUGACUAGAAGGGAUGCAUAACUCAUUAUUUUCAAAAAUGCCCUUUGACUUAAAAACUCAAAAGUCAACCUUAAAAGUCAAAUUUAAAAAGUCAAACUUACAAGUCAAGGUCAAAAUUUUAAGUCGAAAGCCAAUUUUGGAAGCUAAAAUUUUAAAAGUCAGAACUUUUGGUUGAAAAUGAAAUUUUAAAAUUUUAAAAAUUGAUUUUUGGGCAAAAGGUGUCAAUAUUGCAAAAUUGGAUCGAAAUUGCAAAGCCUUUUGAAUUAAAUCUAGAAAGAGAGUAACAUCUAUCAAGCUAGAUGAGUUGGUAAGACGGUGGGGAGGAAAGAAUUGGAGACCCGGGUUCGAAUCCUAGCAACUCCCAAAAUCCUUUUGAUUAUUUGUUGCUGCUGCAAAGACUAUAUGAUUAAAAAGGGGAGAAUGUUAAACAUCUCGCAAGGUAGAUGAGCUGGUAAGGUGUGGGUUGAUGAUGCGAGAGGUCGUGAGUUUUAUCCUUGCAACCCCCAAAAUCCUUUUGAGUAAAUGGUCUCGAACACAUGCACGCUGCGGACCGCAAACGUCUUGGGCCGAACACCUUCUGGGUAGUGAACUGUCCGAGGACCGCAAACUCUCAUGGGCCGUAAACGAACUUCAGGCCGUGAAAGCUUCUUCGGGCCUUGAAAGCUUCUUCAGACUUGAGGUUGUGAAAGCUACUUCGAUUGGCCAUGAACCAUUUUUAUGAAAAACACGAAGAACAACCCCCCUAUUUUGCCAAGAACUAUUCGAAAAUGAAAAAAUCUUCAAGAAAAAGAUAAAAAACGCUCCAGAUCUGCCAAAUUAAUUGAUACAAUCCAAACUUUGAUACCAACUGUAAAGUCCCAAAUUUUCUUGUGUAUCAAUCAGAUCCAAUUGAUGGUGUGGAAUCCCAAUCAAUUGGAUGAUGCAAGAUCAAUAUAAGAAGGAGAAGAAGAAGGAAAUAGAUGAAUCUUGAAUGAUUUGAUGAUUAUAAUUAUGAUCCUUAAACAACAUUCACUUUCUCUCUCUAAAACACCUUGAGUUACACACACUUAAGCUCCUUUCUCUUUCUCUUGUCGUACACUGCUUCUAUGUCCUCCCGUCCUCCUAUGCACUCCUCACCCUUACAACUAUAUAUAGGGAACAUUGGGCAUGAACAGGUUCAUGGUCGUGAACCAAUUCACGGCCGUAAACACCACUUGGGCCGUAAACACAACCGCAAACAUUUAACAAUAUCAAUACAAGAUUAAGAAAAAGAGUUUUCACUGUCCUAUGGCUUUGCAGACUCUGGGGUAGUCUGUACCAUAAAAGCAAAUUGCAGUUCCAUCAUUUCUUCUUCCGGGUCCACCUCAACUUUCUCCUCUAGGACGUCAUUGAUCUAGGCCAGGUGAGCAUUUUUCAGGUCCUGAGAUGUUCAGGGCCCAAAUCUAAUCCUCCCAGUCAAACAACCGAGACACCACUGCCAGAUUCACUAUUUGAUUAUUGGUGGUAGCUCCCCUGCUGCUUCCUACUGGAACCAUGGUUCUUUUACUGUUUUCCCUCCUUUCUAGCUUUGGUCAGUCUUUGGAAAAGUGACAAGGUUUAUGGUAAGUGAUGUUAGAUUAAUGUCUAAGUCCAUAACUAUAAUUGGUAUGUACUUGACCCGACUUGGUAUGGUCCAUUUGGGUUGCACUUCACCGAAACAAUUUAUAUGGAUAAUCCUUUGAGAAUAGCAUGCUUAUGAUUUAUAUUAAUAUAUUAUAAGUUCUAAUAUAAUAUAUAAUCAUACUAUUUAAUUAGUAUUGAUCAAGAAUUAAUUUAUAAUUAAUAAUUGAUCAAAAUGAACUAAUUAAAUAUGGAAUCUUAGAUAUAUAUGUGUAGUGGGCCAAGUUCAUUUAGGUUGGGCUAAGUCUUCAUGGAUAGUCCAUGGAGCUUUAACCCAUGGAUCCUAGGAAAUGAAAGGUCAUGGGUAUUAGGGUUUAACCCUAAUCCUCCACACUAUAUAAAGGGUCUUAUGGUUCAUGAAAUUGGGCUAGUGGCUAGUGUGGAUACACUAAAGAGGGCAAUAACUGAUUUCAUAAGUGUGAGACAAGUAUCCAUAUUCUCUAAAGAUUUUCCAAGGUGUUUUGGUGAUUUGUGAUUCCACUUGAGGCUUGCACACUAUUGGGGCUAAGCUCUUAAAGUUCAAUACUUCAAGCUUCAUUAAAAGGUAUGUAUUCUAACUUGUUAUGUUACCCAAGUAUCAAGGAGUGUAUGCUAGAUAGGGUAAUACCUUGGAAUAUUCAUAUUUGCAUGUAUAAUCGAGAAAACAUAGAUACAAGGUAUUUAGGGUUGCAUGUACACUUAAGAGUGUUAGAAUGCUCAAAACCCAACAGUGGUAUCAGAAACAUGGGUUGUUUUUUGUUAUAUUGAUGCAAAUGUUUUAUUUUCAAAGUUGAAAAAAAAAGAAAAAAAAAAAGAUGACGUUUGUCAAAUUUUAAGAUAAUUACUUGUUUUUAUUGAAAAACUAAUUAUUUGUAAAAUUUGAAUCAUUUGCUAUAUGAGUUGAAUUAGGUCAAAUUUAGUAAAAGAUAAAAUGAUAUGAUUAUUUUAUUAGUUUUAAAAGUUUGAUCUAAAGAGUGUUUUUUUAAACCUCCAUAUGUUAUGGAUAUGAAAAGGUUUUAAAAAAAUUGAUUCAAAGUUUUUUUAUGGAGUUACAAAAUUUGAUGUUAAUGUUUUAAAGAAUUCCAUAACUUGUUCUUAAGUUAUGGAACAUGAAAGGUUUCAUCAUAGAACAAGCAUUUAACUCCAUAAGUUAUGGAUUACCAAAAGUUUUAUGUUUCCUUGAUUUAUGAGUUAGUUUAGAUUAUUGAAAAAAAAUUGUGUUCUAGUUGUUUUCAAUCCUAAUUAAUCUAGAGGUAGUUCAUAAAACGUGCUUUUGUAACUUUUCCUCAAGUUACAUAAAAGGUUACAUUUAUGAAUCUUAAAACUCAUAAAAGUGUCAUAGGUUACAUAAAAAUGAAGAGUGUUUUUCAUUAUAUAGUAUUAUGACUCCAUAACUUGUCCUCAAGUUAUGGAUGUUUAAGAGUCACUUCUUUAAAAGUGUUAUUAAAAAAUAAGAGUUUACAUAAAAAAUGAAGAGACUUCAUUUUAAUUAACCAUUAAAAUCAUAAGUUAUGAAAUGAAAAGUUUUGAAUAGUUUCAAAACUUGCCCUCAAGUUUUGGAAUUUGUAAAGUUUUCUCAUGAAUACUUUAAUUCCAAGUUAAGCCCUUAGAAUUUUAAAAGUUAAAAUUCAACCCUUAUACUUUAUAAUAUUAUAAGUUAAUAAUAUUUAUAUAUGUGUAUAAGAGCCAGUCGUAUUACCAUUAGUAGGCCUCAUUCACGAAGCCGAUUUAUAAGGGGGUAUAAGGUUACUGCGUAUAAAAUGGCAGUUUAAUGGGUGUCCACUCUUACCCACCACUUUAUUGACUAAUGGAGGGUCGUUAGCCGAACGGGUAGGACAAGGACUAUAAUUAUCCCUUCAUUAAAAGUAUUAAUGAUAAAUAUAAAGUAACUAAAUGUUUUUUAUAAUUCCCAAUCUUAGUUACUUUAGGAAAAUGUGAAUAAGGUGCUAAUCCAUGAAAUUACACUUUGCACUUUGUUUAAGUCGGUUAGUGGAGCAUGUGUGGUUAACCGGCACACUAACUUGUAUUUAACAAGGUAGGAAAAGGGUACCUUAAUGUUUAUCAUAGUAUCGAUGGAGCGUGUGUGGUUAACCGACACAUCGAUUGAGGGGUAAACACUUAAGAGUACCAAGUAAUUUGCAUGGUUACUUCACACCUUGUUUUGUUAUCCUCAACAUCCUAGUCAGAAAACCUACAGGGCACACUCGAGAUUGAAACAUGCCAUUGAACAGUUCAAUGAAUCUCAAAAGAUCUAGGAGUUUCAAAUCCAAGUAAAACCUAAUUAAAUUAUUUCGUUUUCAUGGUGGAAAUUGGUGAAUCAUCAUUCACCUACCUUCAGAUAUUCUAUAGCUUGGAUUACGGCAUCCCUCUUCCAAGUUAUAAAAUAUUGUGUUGGGUCCUAGCCUUAAUAUUUCAUAUUGAGUGUUAUAUUAAGGACUUCAAAUCAACUACCUUGAAUAUCUCCGAAAAAGAGGUCUAGUUCAGACAUCUAUGAUCUUCCCAAAUCUCUUGGAACUUCACUUCCACCACAUCCUCCAAUUAUCCUCCCUAAUCCACAUGUUCAAGGUCACUCAAGCCCUAUUGGAAAGCAAGGUCUAUCUGGAAUCGCAUCAUGGAGAUGAAGUCACAUAUUGACAAGCCGGGAGAGUUGCGUGUUAAAGUCUUAAGGAAGUUGUAUGUGCAAUCACUUUCUAAGUCACAUAGUGAGUUCCUUUGGGACUACUAUGAAAUAGACUACGACAUGAUCCAUAAUGAUCUUUUCUAUUUGCUUGGUACUGCUAAAUCAAAAAUGAUUUGGAGCUUUAGUAAAGCAAAUUUGAUUAGUAGAUCAACUUUCCAAACCUUCAAUGGGCAUUGCCAAUGGUUGCAUCGGAUACCCUGUAAAAGCCUUCUCUUCCCAAUGGAAAGUGAUUGGCCAUAGUCAACUCGGUUGACCAAAUGGUAAAGAGAAAGGCUAAGUAUGAGAUUGUCCCAUGUACCAUUCCCAAAGGAUCCAUAUGGUUCUAUUUCCAAAAGGAAAGGGCAUUGGUUGCGAAGCUGCCAAAUUUACCUGUAAGAUCAUAAGGCUGGUAAAGUCAAUAAGUUUGACUCUACUUCAGGUAAAGUCCACUAUCUAACUCGAUUAAGUUUCUAUUAUGAGAUUCUUAUUACAUGAUGUGACUAGCUCACAUGUUGAUGUUUUAAGAGUCAAAGGAAAAGUGAAGGAAACUUAAAGAAAGAGUAUGUUGAAUCUGAUCGUGAAGAUGGAUUUCUGUCACUUGAUUGAAGAUCAGUUUCUUAAGCUACUCUUAGGAGUUAUGAUAGAUUGCUAGGAAACAUGUAAUAGUAUAGUUUUCAUUUAAAGUUGCAUUGUAAGGAAAAGUUUUUUCCGCAUUUUAUAAAUAAAUAAAAGUUUUUUUUGUUUUAUUUUAUAUCUCCUUACAAUGGUAUUUAUGAAAACUUGAUGUUUGUAUGUUUCUAGCAAUAUUGGAAAUAUGAAUUUAAUUCUUUCUUUUGUGGUAGUGUCUAAAUUUACCAAAUAAGGAAAGAUUCUUAUCACCCAAGUUUCAAUUAGACUGAAAUAUGGAAUCAUGCAAGUUGUAUAGUAUGAUGAAUGAGAAGUUUCAUUUUUGGAAAAUUAAGACUAGUUCCUUGUUCACAUGUAUAUGUGACUCAAGUGAAGGACUAAGGGAUCAAGUACACAUUCUUGUGCACUAGUCAAAGUCCACCACAAAAUAUCGAUAAGAAUAUUCGUCAUGAUUUACUAAAGUUUAGUAAAUAUGGUUAUACUUACAACCUUAAGUAUAACUCCGCGACAUUGGAAAAGUUCCAAAUGUAUGGCAGAGCGAAUAAAAAUAAUCAAAUUAGGUAGAAGGAUAAAAGUUUCUCAAAUCUGAAAAGAUGGGAGAGUACUUUAGUAUUAUGUUAUAUGAUCAUCUUAAUGAUUAAGAGACCUUAUCACAGUUCAUCCUCUAAGUGCAUUCUGAUAGCUAAGAAGAGGAGCUAUGAAUUGUUGAAGUGGUCAAAUCAAGAAGAUGAUUCAUACUUCGUUCCAAAAACAAUUCUUAGAGUCAUACUCCAAGAUUGUAACUUGAGUGACAUAUCUUAAACAAAGGUUUAUUAACACUAGUCAAAUGUAAGAGUAAAAGUAUCCAACUCUUGUACAUUUGUAAUUGGUAAGUUGUGAUGUUUUGGAUAAAACAAAGACCAACUAAGACCAAUUGCGUGAAGUGUUUGUCUUGAUAAAGAAUCCGCACUAUCUCUUGAAUAUUAGGUGAGCGAGUCUUAUAUGUCAAGAGGACAGUGGGAGUCUUAAAGAUCAUGAAAGAAUUUCAAGAUCUAAUCAAGAGUAAAACCUAUAGUUAAUCACUAGCACACGACGUGAGGUUUAUAACAUAUCGUGUUGACAUAUUCCUAUUUCUAUUCCCAUUUUAGUUAAAGUUGGCUUUGCAUAUGAGUUCUGAGAGUUCUCAAUUGGUUGCAUAACAACUUGGAAGCAAUGGCAGGCCGUUGUGUUGCCAGGUGGCAAGAAUUUAAGAUUGCACAAGUUCAGUCCCUUUGAGUUUGGAUUUGUCAUUAACCUUGUCUUGUGAUUAUCGUUUGACAAAUUCACAUGGAUAGGAACUGAUACACCACAAAAUCUAAGGGUCAUAAGGUUUCUCUCCGAUUCAUGAAAAUGAUGGUGAGGAAACACUUCCACCAAGUAGAUUUUAAGUAAAUAGCAAUUGUGAUAUUUGCAAUUCUCAAAGUCGUUAGUGGUUACCCGACACACUAACAUGGACUUAGGAGAAAUGGCAAAGGUCUAAACAAUUCAGACUAUGAUUACAACAUCCAUUUUCAUAGUUCUGAAUUUGUUUAGACACGCCUGUGAGUUAUCUAAGAGAGGUUUAUGAUUUUGAUAAAGUCUUAUCAAAGCAAUCUAGUAUCAGAAAUCUAAACUUUGGUAAGAAAGUCAAUAAAGUAUUGAUUUCUAGAAGUCCAGCUAAUUUUUGGAUACAUGUCAAAGCUAGUGGGAGCAUAAGUGUUAUACUAAUAAUCAUCAUGUUAGUGGGAGCAUGAUAAUUAUGAUAAGUAUUGCAAGUUAGCAAUGUUAAUUAUAGAAAACAAAAGUUUCAAUUCGUGAGGUUGCAGGGGUGGAAAAGUUGUUUUGCUAUAAUUAAGGGAGAGGAAAUUAUAUUUCAUUUCAAUUCUAAAAGGCUUAGAUUGAGAUUUUAAUCAUCUUAGUCAAGAAUAUAUAUAUAUAUUUUAUGUUGGNNNNNNNNNNNNNNNNNNNNNNNNNNNNNNNNNNNNNNNNNNNNNNNNNNNNNNNNNNNNNNNNNNNNNNNNNNNNNNNNNNNNNNNUAAGAAAAUUCUAUAUAUUGCGUUCUCAAAAUUCGAUUAUGAUUAUGACAUCCCUCUUCAUAGUCAAAUUUUGAAAACAUGGAAAAUAAAAAAUAUUGUAGCAAAAGACUGGUCUAGAAUCAUGUCUUUAUGUGACAUAUCAUGAAUCGUGUCCCAUUUGCUUAGGGUACAGGAUCAAUUGCAUGUGCUAUAAUAUUUAUCCUUUCUAAAUUUUCCAAAUGCCUGGGGCAUUAAGAGGAAAAGGUCUAGAAUUGGAUAUGACUAAAAUGAUUAAGCAAUUGUCGAGGACAAUCUAUGGUUUACCAAAGAUUGGCUGCUCAGGGACAGUUGGAAGUAUAGUGUCAAAAUGGGAAUAUGGAAAUGAUUCCAUCGGUGGAAGUUACUCAAUUUGUGUAAGAUUAGAAAACUUAAUGCAAGAAGGAUGUUUCCCAUGGAAUUGAUCUCCAUUGGAAUACUCUAUAAUGUCUUUUGAAACGUCUUUGUGACUUUGUGCAAAGUCAUUACAAGAGGAUCUGUGCAUAUAAGUUUAAAAUCUAACAGAUUUCGAUAAAUGAUAGGAAUUUGAAAUUCUUAUGUUUUCGAUAAGGAUUUGGGAGUGUGAAAUUAGAAUCAUUGAAAUUAUUUUCAAUUGGUUUAUUUCACAAAGUAAGGAUCAUAGACAAACAUAAAGUGCAUACUUAGUGUAUGGCAAAGCUAUUGUUUAGAAAAACAUAGGGUACAUGCUUGGAGCAUGGGACAACUAGUGUUUUACUUCAAGUAUAAAGUUGAUAAAACCGAAACAAUGAAUAAUGAGUAAUCAGUAUGGUGAUAAAUAAAAGGUGUUUUAUUUAUAUUCAUAGGGUACAUGCUUGGAGCAUGUACUUUUCCAUGCGGUAUUUCCAUUCGGGGAAACCCUCAGCAGAUAGCAGACAUGGAAUGCACAUAGUUGUGCCCAUAACGGAGUCCAAUUCUUGAUGAACUUAUGAGUUUUGUGAAUCCAUUUUUGUUUGCUUUUGGUUUUUCUUUGAUUAAACAAAUAAAACUAAUAAGAAAAGUACUAAAACAGAAAGUGUUCAAAUGAUCAAGAAGGGGGUUCACGGUCGUACACUUGAUCACGACCGUACACACAAGUUAAUUCACGGUCCAAGGGUUGAACACGUUCAAUGAAUGGUUUACGGCCAUACAAAAUGGUCAAUGAAUGGAUCACGGUCACGAGAUGAACACGGUCAAAUGGGAUGAACGGUUCACGACCGUACACACUUAUUCACGACCAUACACACUUCAACAGAGUGAACCGUAAACACAUAGAAUCACCAGAUUUCAAGAAUAUUUUGAUCCUCUUAGCCUUCAAAACAUGAUCAAAUCAGAUAUCCAACAAACGAGUUCAAAAAUCCUGAGAGUGAAUAUAAAAACUCCAACCGUAAACACUUCUUGAAGACUUUGACACUGGAUUUUGCUCUGAUACCAAUUGUAAAGUCCCAAAUACAAGGAACCAAACCAGUGAUCAAACAAUGAACAAUCAAAAUGAAUAAGAAUGGAGUAGAAGAAGGAUUUAAUUAAGCAAUGCACACAUUUAUUAGCUAAAACAUCAGGUACACCUUGAAACACACACACAAACAUGACCGUGAACUCGACUACUUCUGUUCACUGACAUUUGACACCUAUAUAUAGGACAAGACCAACCGAACACAGUUCAUGGCCGUGAACACCUACACAGGUGCCAAAACAUGUUAAACACAACCAAAACCUACCAAGUCUUAUACAUAAAGAAGCCUAGCCCAAAACAUAAAAUGUGACCUAACAGUGCAUGUGCUCUUCGUGUUCUUUGUGUUUUAAAGAAGAUUUGGAGUGAUUUCGGUUGAUGAUUUGAAGAAGGUAAGGUGAUUCACACUAAUUUGGAAGAAUAUAACAAGGUUUCACCAAGAUCUUCAAGAGAUUUCUAUGAUUUCUCAAGGAAAAGAUGAUGAAAUCGAUGAUAGUUAAGAGAGAAUGGAGAGUUUUCGGCCAGAAAAUGAAGAAGUGAUGGUGGUUUUCAGUCAGCCUUCUGUAAAUACUCCUUGAGUUUUGGGCCGAAAACACCAUUUGAGAGGGUUUGUGGCUACGAAUGGUUUGAGGCUGCAAACCAUUUGCGGUCAAAGGAUUUUAGAGUCGACAACUUCGUUUUCGGUCCGAAGCGUUUGCGGCUGAUACGAGGGUUCUCAGUUCCAUUUAGAUUUUUUUCACUUCUUAUUCAUACAACACUUUACCAAGUAUUUAUAUGCAUCAAAUAUAUUAAGUUAAUUUUUAAUAAAUUAAUGUGUUCACUAAGUUUGACCUUUAUUUGUUGGGUUUGACUUGAGUUGACUUUUAUUGACUUUUUAUAAAGAAGAAAAUAACGGGUUGUCACAUUAUCCCGUCGUUAAAGGGAAUUUCAUCUCGGAAUUAGAAUUUUGAGUGAGACUUCAAGGGUUGGAAAGGGACGGCAUACUUAUAUUACUAUUGAUCUAUUCUUCUUCUUGUGAAUACAGUCUCCGAUUAGCGUUCUAGUGGCUCUCCACUGUUGCGUCUGCUAUUUUGAUCGGUAAGGAGUGUGGUGGGUUUGGUUCACUUGACUAUCUUCCCCCAAGUGGUGGCAGAGCCACUCGUAGUCUUGGGUAGGUUUUGUCUUUUAAGUUCUUAGUAAGACUCAUACCAUGCUCAUCUAUCUCAUCCUCGUGUAUACAAGCGUAUGUAAUUAAGAUUAGUAAGACAGUCAGAUGUGUAACUCUGCCUCAGGUCCACAACCAGAUGACGAAUAGGAGAUAGGGUGGAAACACACAUCCUAAUUCCAUAGAAUCUUAAUUAUAUACCACCCUCGCGUACACACUUAUCAUUGAUAGAUUAGUUGUAUGGGUCCUUAGUCUCUAUACUUGAACUUGACCUGCUAUACGAGUGGUAUUCCUAAGAGGUCUACUGGGAGUACUUUGAGAAGGUUAUGGGAGGUAUGGUACAUCUUGCAUGACUACUUCGAAGUUUCGAAACGAGAGACGAUUCUGAGGUCUGUGUCGGGUUUGUCGUCUUGAAUGACGAGGGUUUCGUUAGUCGGUCGGUUAAGGUGAAGGGUUUUCAUAGCCCAUGAAAUUAGUAUGGUGAGGACCACACCAAUCCAUGUCAAAUGAUGAAAUCAGGACUCUUUAUUGGAAACAAAUGUUAAGUUGAUUUGGAAGAAACGUUCGUUAGAGAGAUAAUGUAUACUAUGUGUACUUUCUAGUGUUUCCAAUUUUAUCCUUGUUAUUACCACUGCAAGCACUUUGUACCGCGCUAAGUGAGUACUGGUAGUAAGAGUGUUUUGAGAACUAGUGAUGAUACUUCAAAAUAUAAUCCCUACAAGGUUCCUCUAUAAAGGCUUGGUGUAUACAAGUCAUGUAUAGUUAAGAUUGAUAAGACCGUCGACUGGGUGACUCUGCCCUUCAUCCACAACUAGACAAGGGAUAGGAAGUAAGGCAGAAUCACACACUCUAAGCCUGUAAAAUCUUAAUCAUAAAUGACCCUCAUGUAUACACUAAGCUAUCAUUGCUCACCAACAAGGAUCCUUAAUAUUUAUAUGAAUACUAUGAUUUUGUUAGGACGAGAGAGUAAUUUAAUUACUUUUAAUUGACACCCCUUUUAAUAGAAAUUUAAGCUUUAAAACAAAAUUUUUGUUAGGAAAACACAUCGCUGUUCACAGUAGUUCCAGGACAGUCUCUCUUGCGGUGAUCAUCAACACUCUUCCAUCUCCACCAGAAUUUUUCGUUAUUGGACAAUCCCUCUUAUAGUGUUCGAUUUCGCCACACACGUAACAGGCCUGUCUUACUCCAGUAGUGGGGACCUGGGAGAUUAGUUGUGCCGGUGCCCUACAGAAACGGGCAGUGUGCCCUUUUCUAUUUCAAUUUUUGCAAUGCAUCUCCUGACAAGCUCUGGUGUGGUGGUAGUUACACUUGCUACACUUUGGAAGAGUUCUAGCAUAUUGACAGACAUGGGCUGGAGUGGCAGGUGUUGUUGCAACAUAAACGACAACAAUUUGUUGCUUCUUCGGGGGUUCUUGUGUGGGUUGCCCCUUUUUCUUGAUCCAUGGCUUUCUCUUAUAGUCACUUCCUUUAGUUGGCUUAGGAAUGGGGGUCAUCACGCCUUGGCGGACUCCAUGGUCGAUGAGUCAUUGGGCCAAGUGUUUGGUGCUAUCGUAAGUAGUCGGGUUAGAAGGCAGUACAUUUCCUUGAAUUUGGUGAGAUAACCCCCAGAUGUAUGUUUCUAUCUUCAUACUCUCUGGGAUCAGCAUCCCUGGGCACAGUGUUGCCAGGUCACUAAACCUGUUAGUGUAGGACACUAUGUCAGAGCUGGUCAUGGUAAGGUCCCACAACUCUUGUUCCAACUUUUGUGCUUCGCCCCUAGGGCAGUAUUCUUCCAUCAUCAUUUCUUUCAUGUUCUCCCAGCCCAAUUAGUUAUCCACUGAUAAUUUUAGCGACUUAACACGGCUAUUCCACCAUGUCAGGGUUCUACCGGAGAAGGUGUAGGCAGCAAAUUUCACUUUGCUCCCUUCUGGGCAUGUGUAGAUCUCGAAAACUAAUUCUGUUUUCUCGAACCAUUGCAUUAUAGUAAUGACUUCCCCAUCUCCCUUAAAGGAUUUGGGUUUGCAGUUCAUAAAGUCUUUGUACGAACACUCCCGUGGGUGUCCGUAAGUAUAUCCGUAGUUAGUUGGGUGAGCACCACUACCAGAUCCACUGGUGACACUCGUGCAAAUUUGAGUCAUAGCGGCAGCCACUGCGGUGGUUACCGCAGCUUGAAAAGCAACAAGGUCUUGCUGUGGUGGUGGAGGUGGUUGAGUUGUCGUCGUGUUAUUGAUGACACGCCUCCUAGGUCUACCAGGAGGCAUUCUUUUGCUAUAAAGUUUACAAGAUGAAACGGUGGUAAGUCUUUAGUAGUGGCUUUAAGUCGAUUGUUAUUUACACUAAGUUAUCUUAGUUCUGAGUGUAUCGUGUUCCGACUUUUAUAGUGUUAUGAAAAUAAUUCUUAAAUGGAGUCUAUGUAAAAUAAACUUAUGAAUUUAUAGUAGUGAUUAUCCUUAACUGAAAUUUUGUGACCUGGUUUAUUGUUACUAGUUGUUACGAAAGAUAUAGUAAACGUAACACAUAGUGUGGGUAGUGAAAUCACUAACUCACUAGAUUACAUUAGUUCUAUAGUUAUGAGUGUGAUGCAUAAGAUGUUUGGUCUCUUCGCAUGACUCGUGAGUAGUUUCCUCUGUCCUCUGUCCCUACUAUGAUUUCCCUAGUUCCAGCUGUAAAGAUAUAUUGUCUUCGAACAUCCAUAUGGUUUUCUUGUUCUUCAUAGGUGUGUUAAUUCUUUGGCUGAUUCCUUAUCGUAAUCCUCCUCGUGAACCUCUUGUUGUUCUUUUUUGACUCCCCUAUUGACUGUUUUAGUGAGGUGGCUAUAUCUAUCUAUGUGGUUCGUGCGAGAAUAGGAAUGUCUAAAGAAUAUAUGAGAUUGAUUAAAACAAUUUUUAUCUUAUGGGGGUGAUCCUGACCGGGUCCUCCUAUAGGCACGUAGUGUAUACAAGUUGUACAUAACUUAAGAUUAAAUAGACCUUCGAAUAAGUGACCCUACUCUAAAACCACAACCAAACAAGGAACAGGAAGUAUAGCAUAGGUCACAAAUUUUAAGUCUAUAAAAUCUCAAUUAUACACAACUUUGGGAGUAUACACUCCGCAAUCAUAGACCUACCAGUAAGGGUCUUUUAGUUUUCACAUAUGUUAUUUAUAGUACCUAAAAUACUCCUAUAGUAUUUUAAAUUGUAUGUUUGAUUCUAUCAUUCAUUGGUAUAUGAACUUGGUAAGAUUUUAGACUUGUUGUUACCUUAUAGCUUCAUAAAAUACUCUUAUAGUAUUUUAACUUUGUGUUUUGUUCUAGAGAUCAUUUGUAUAUAGAGUUUGGUAAGUUUUAAGCCUAUUGAAACACCAUCAUCACUCCCAAAGACAUGUUGGUCGUAUCUCAAAUAAAUAUAGUUGAUCAGGCUAUAUUUAUCCCAAAUAUGAUUACAUAAUUGUAUAGGUUUGACCAUAGUGCCUAACAUUUAAAUACUUUUGUUUUGCUCUUCUUGUGAUACUUGUUCUAGUAUGUAUAAAUGCAUGUUUGUAUACUUAUAUUUUAAAAGUAUAACUCUUUGUCAGAGUAUUUUUAUCCCAUUGUGUUUAUAGUUGUAUAGCUUUUUUAUAGGUUGAUAUACUUAGUUCACUAUAAACAAUUCCCUGAUACCAGUAUGUCACACCCCCAAACCAGAACGGCAGAAAUGUACGGGGCGGAUGACGUCAUGUUCAGUAUCACAACAAAUGUAAAAUAGUAAAACAAACAACAACAUCCAUUGCAUUAAUAAUAUAGUUAUUACAUGUGUGUUCUUAGUAUAGUUUUUAUGACACCAAAAUGUAUAACAAAAGUUAAAGAUGAGUCUUGAAUAUGCUUCGUCUUCUCAAAACCCAUGUGAGUGUACUUGUCUACGGGUUCCCUGAGAAUACAAUUUAUUUUGAAAGAGAGUAUCAAAAUUUAAGUUGGUGAGUUCAUAAGUAUUUUGUUUUAGUUAUAAUCUUCUUUGUUCUUUGAAAACCUUAAUAUGUUCUUCCCGAAAAUCCUAUACUUUCUACUGUAAUAAUCGUAAGAAGUGCGAUCCAUACUAGUUCCUUCUACAAUCACUUAGUAGAUACCAGUUAUAUACAAACCGGAUCAAACAUACAAUUAUUUUUGUGGUUCUGCCCUAAGCCCACAACCAAACAAGGAACAGGAAAUGAGGCGAAAACCACACAUUCCAUUGUCUGUCGGAUCUACUUUGUAUGUAACCUUAACGUAUACACUAGGUAGUUGCAGAGUUAACUGUAAUGUCCUUUUGGAAAAAGUGAGUGUGUCCUUCCUUCUAUGAUCACUUAGUGUAUAAAAACUAUAUAUAAUUUAGAUCGAAUGAACAGUCGAGUGUGUAUCGGAUCUUUAUUAUAUAUAACCCUAGUGUAUAUAUAACCCUAGUGUAUACGCUAGGUGAUCACAGACAGUAAAGAUCUUUAUUGAAUAAAACCUGCCUUUAUUUAGAAACGUAAUGUAUAACAGUUGUAUUUGUAUGAAACCAUUUUUGUAGUAUGCAACUAGUUAAACUUUCUAUCAGAAAAGUAUGUUUUGUAAUGGAAAAUAGUAUACUGUACUCGUAUGUUAUGACCUCACCCUUACCUAUUUCCUCCUAUGAUUAUUUAGUGUAUACGAGUUAUAUAUAUAUAUAUAUANAUAUAUAUAUAUAUAUAUAUAUAUAUAUAUAUAUAACUAAGAUCAAAUGGAUAGUAGACUGUAUGAAUAUGCUCUAAGCCCACAACCAAACAAGGAACAUGAAAUGAAUCGGAAAGCACACACUCUACUAUCUAUCGGAUCCGAUUAAUAUAUAACCAUGUUGUAUAAAUCAAGGAAUCAUGGAGUUAACAAUAAGGGUCUUUUAUGUUCUAUUUAUUCGUAUGUAUGUUCCUAGCUUCAUCAUCUAUACUGUAAGGUAUAGGAUUAUAGUUUGUUAUUUGAAUAAACUAUAUGAAGUUAUUUAUGUAUUCAUACACUAAUCAUAUUGUUAAUACCAAAUUGUAGGUUCUUAUAACCAUACUAAUGACCAGGAUGGCCUGACUCGACGUUAUUCAAGCAUCAGAAUGUUUAUGACAUUUGUCACCCCAGAACUUCCGUUCAAACUUUAGCUAACAGUCUGGGCGCAGGAUUAUCAGUUCCGUAUAGAUCUAUACACAAACUCACGCUCUCCCUCACAGAGACCCUGGUUAUAAUAUCAUGGCUUUUUUGGCACUUAGAUAAGUACUUGAAAAUAACUCUCACAAAGCUAUAUCGACGGUUACGUGUAGAAUAUAGAAAAGUCUUUUUGUAAUGAUAAACCAUUUGUAUUACCCUUUUUAUAGUUAGAACCUUAGUUUGAAAGUUCCCUAAACUAUACCUAGUAUAGUUUAUAUGGAUAUUCGUUCGGAAUUGAAAGCUUUUGCAAUUUAACCAAAUGUAUAAAUAGUAAUAAAAUAAUUUAGAAAGUUACCCUUUUAUUCAACAUGAAACCAAAAUGGUUAAAGACUUAUAGCAAAUUCAUUUUAUACUUAUAUACAUAUCUUGCAUAUAUAAUUCAGACUAAAAAUGCAUUCGGACAAAUUAUUCUUCGUUAAAUCCACAACCAGACAAGGAACAGGAGUUAAAGCAGAGACAUUAGACCUAAUCCUGUUUAAAUCUCAAUUAUAUAUAUAUNNNNNNNNNNNNNNNNNNNNNNNNNNNNNNNNNNNNNNNNNNNNNNNNNNNNNNNNNNNNNNNNNNNNNNNNNNNNNNNNNNNNNNNNNNNNNNNNNNNNNNNNNNNNNNNNNNNNNNNNNNNNNNNNNNNNNNNGUGUUUUAACUUGUAUUCCACUCCCCCCCCCUCCCUAAAACUUUGAAAAACAAUAAAAAUGUAGUGGGUAUGAACUCACCUUUUGUGAGUUUCUAGUUAAAGAUAUGGUGUAGUCACAUUAAUUUCACAAGCUAGAACCUGCGAUAAAACUAAAUUCUAAUUUAUAUGAAUAUCAAAAUCAGGUAUAAAUUCGAUGUUAUAGUGAUGCUUAAAGUGCUAAACAACACUUAAUUAUUGUAAGAGGACUUACAAUAAUCCUUAGAAUAGUGUGCAUGUGUUCUUCAUGUUCUAAAGAAGAUUUGGAGUGAUUUCGGUUGAUGAUUUGAAGAAGGUAAGGUGAUUCACGCUAAUUUGGAAGAAUAUAACAAGGUUUCGCCAAGAUCUUCAAGAGCUUUCUAUGAUUUCAAACGGAAAAGAUGAUGAACUCGAUGAUAGUUGAGAGAUAAUGGAGAGUUUUCGGCCUGAAAAUGAAUAAGUGAUGGUGGUUUUCGGUCAGCCUUAUGUAAAUACUCCUUGAGUUUUCGGCCAAAAACACCAUCCGAGAGGGUAUGCGGUUGCGAACCGUUUGUGGUCUGAGGAGUUUAAAGUCAAGAACUUCGUUUUCGGUCUAAAGCGUUUGCGGCUGAUACGAAGGUUCUCGGUACCUUUUAGAUUUUUUUCAAUUCUUAUUCAUACAACACAUUAUCAAGUGUUUAUAUGAAUCAAAUAUAUUAAGUUAAUUUUUAUUAAAUUAACAAAUCACUUAGUUUGACCUUUAUUUGGUGGGUUUGACUUGAGUUGACUUUUAUUGACUUUUUACAAAGAAGAAAAUAACGGGUUGUCACAUUGUGGAUCUAGACCCCAUAUAUAACGGUCCACUUUCUUGCUUUCCGAUUUCUCCAUGCUUGUUCAGAGGUGUGCAAGGUCAUUAAACUUCGUCGUGUAAGUCUUGACGUCAGAACCUUUCAUUUUCAGGUUCAAAGCUCAUGUUCUAUGCUUUGUACUUCUUCUUGGGGGCAGUAAUCCUCUAUUAAAAGUUCCUUCAUGUUUUCCCAUGACAUUGAAUUUUCCACCGAGACACCCAAAGGUUUUACAUUGUCAGUCCACCAUGUUAGAGCUCUGUCCAUUAAGGUACAUGCGGCAAACUGCACUUUGCUACCCUUAGCACAAUAGCACAUGUCAAAAACAACUUCAACUUUUUCAAACCAAGGAGUUAAACCCACAACUCCUUCGUUGCCAUAAAAGUUUCUUGGCUUGCAAAUUAGGAAGUCCUUGCAGGAAAAAGUUCUUCUAGGCUCUUCUGUAUGUGAGUGAAGAGUGCUUCCAGCUCCGUUUCCCAGUCCGUUCAUUUCCAUGAGUCACCUUCCAUCAUUCAAGCUCCUUGUAGUUGCCAUUGCAAUUGUAAUGCGCUCUGAAAGUAGUUGUUCCAAAUCAACUGUAGUUUGAGGAAGUCCUGACUCGGGAGGUGGUUGAAUUAGAGCGCUAGAAGUUGGCGUUUCUGGAGUCACAACCGGCCCUCUGGUUGGUUGACCUCUCUGGGUUUGUCCUGCAGUUGGUUCGGUAGUUGGUGUUACUUUGGGGUGUAAUAUGGUGUUCCUUCUUGGAAGUAUUUUAAUUUCUUAUCUCUGUUAGUAGUAGAGAUUUAGUUUGUGAUGUUUUUGUUAGUUCUCUUUAUAAUGUUUUUAUUCAGCAUUAUUAUUCAUAUAACGGUUCAAAAAAAGAUUUCUAAACUUAAUAACAUAUGUUUCAUUUAAACAUUAACAUCCGAAUACAUUAGUCUUUACCAUUUUCAUAAUGUAAAGACUUACAAGUAGUGGUACAAAGACCUACUAACGAACAAAAUUUUUUUUUACUUAUUCUUACAUAUCCUAAUACCUAUCUGAGAAGUUUGUCACCAAAAUUUUUAGUAUCUCAAAUAUGCUACACAAAAGUUUUACACAUAUACAUACAAGAAUAUUGUAUUUUCUUUUAUUGACUUGUGAUCACGUUUUACGUUUCUUAAAACGCCAAGACUUUAUUUAUCAACUACUUCGCUUAUGUUGGAUAAUGCAUGAGGCCCGACCAAAAUAAAACUUAGGCGCACAACUAGGUUUAGUUAUCAUAUGACCUAUGUUUUAUGAAACCUAAUUGAGUAUUUUAUCUAAAUCUGUAUGUUUAAGUUUAUUGGAUUUUUAUCUUUUAAGUGUUGUAGGGUAAAGAAAUUUCAUAAACCUACUAGAGUAAGCCCGAGACUAUUGUUGUAUAUUUCAUAAAAAGAAAAUACUAAGUUCUCUAUAGUCGUUACUCUGAUACCAAUCCGCGACACCCCGACCGACGGUGGAAAACACCGGGGUUGCGACGUUAUUACAAUUGGAUCAACAUUUCAAGCUAUUUAAUGCCUUUAUAAACUAUGUUAAACCAUUUUCAAUUGUUUUCAAUUAUUUAAAUUAAUGCUUUUUUUUUAAACUAUAUAUAUAUAUAUAUAUAUAUAUAUAUAUAUAUAUAUAUGUGUGUGUGUGUGUGUGUGUAUAUUUUAGUGUGUGUGUGUAUAAUUAAAUUUUAACAAGCUUAGGAGCAAUGUUCCUGCCUUAACUCCUGUUCCUUGUUUGGUUGUGGGCUUAUGAUAGGUUUUAUGCUUAUCCAAUUUUAAACUUUAAUUAUACAUGCAACAUAUAUAUAAGUAUAAAACUUAUUUCAAAAAGAAUUUCUAACUCGUUUGUAUCUUGUCGAGCAAAGGGGUAUCUUCCUUAACCAUUUUCAGUACCAACAUAACAACUUAUAAACUAUAAUAGGUAUAGUUUAGGGAUUAAUUCACACUAUUUACCAGUUCAAAGAUACAUUUCAUGAAUCAAUACAAAAUUACAAAUUACUUUCAUUACAAGUACAUUAUUCAUUUACAAGAACAAGAGAACAUAUACACACUAUACAUAAUCUAGUUAAUACUUUAUAUGAGCCAUUACUUCGUUGUACCUACUAAGGUAUAUGCUAAACUCCUAUUUUAUAACCAGAGUCUCCAGGAGGGAGAGCAUGAAUUUGUGUAUAGAUCUAUACGGGACUGACAAUCCUGUACCUAAAUUGUUAGCUACAGUUAGAUCGGCAGGUCUUGUGUGACAAAUGUCAUAACAUUCCGACGCCUGAAGAACGUCGUGUAAGCCAUUAGUAAUUUUAGCAUGGUUAUAACCCCACUCGUAAUUUAGCAUUAACAAACAAUUUGGUUUAAUAAACAAACAUCACUUCAGUGCUUUUAUUUGAAGUAAUAAAACUACACAUCAUUAUUUUCCAGUAUUUGCAUACAACAGAUUUCAUACAAGUAUGGUACACUUCUUUCUAAUUAAGAAAGAAUACAAUUAUGGAAAACAUACACAUAUACUAUUUAAGAGUACAUUAAUAUACAAAAAUUUCGGUCUUAAGGCCUAAAUAUGUCACACCCCCAAACCAGAACGGCAGAAACGUUCGGGGGCGGAGGACGUCAUAUUCAGUAUCAUAACAGUUCAUAGAAAUGAAAGUACACACCACCAUACAUAUAUAAAGGUUUUAAAAAUGUUUACAUCAUUGUAUUCAUUACAUGCUCAAAAGAUAAAUGCAUAAACAUCUUUCAAAAGAAGUAAUUAACGCCAGCGCGUUAAUCCCCAAAAGUUGAUUUCCAAACCUGCUUAGCGGUUCCCUGAGAAUACAAGUUAUUUCAAAGAGAAAGUGUCAACAAUUAAGUUGGUGAGUUCAUAAUUGGUUUAGAAAGUUUGUAUGCCAUUCCAAAUUGAGUGUAUGUUUUCCAAGAAAAUCCCUUAUUUCCUUAUAAAAGUGUGAAAUGCAUGAGAAUAUAUGUAUUGAAUAAUAUAGAUAGUGGAAUCAAGAAAAUCCCUUAUUUUCCUAUUAGUUGUUUGUUUUGUAUACAUGGAAAAUCCCAUAUUUUCCUAAAGUAAUAGUUAGCCUAAUGUGCCAGACUAAAAACCGAAAGCAAAAGACAUGCUUUAGAAGGUUGAAGCAUAGAUUUAUAUAAUGAAACCUAUUAGAAGAUUUCAGUUUGUUAGAUGAAGAAUAGUUUUAAUAACUACUCAUUCAUCAAUCAGAAGUACUAUAAUAAUUGUAUAUCCGAUGAGUUUUAUAACCAUACUAAACAUAAUAUGCCUGUAGCGACGUUCUUCAGGCGUCGUAGCGUUAUGACAAACUGUCACCCCAAAGGACGGACUGUAGCUAACAGUCAGGGCGCGGGAUCAUGACUUCCCGUAUAGAUCUAUACACAUUUGACACGUUCUCCGAACGGGAGACUCUGGUUAUAGACAGGACUUGUAGCGAUACCUUCUAGCAAAAAGGCAGUGUUUGAAGAUGUACUUGUCUCACGGAUUCUCAACUAAGUCUGUAUUAAAGUAAUAGUUUUGUAUGCAAAGAUCAUCCUUUCUCACAAAGUUUUGACAAUGCAUAAAUCAUAAGUUUUUAAAAUGUAUUAAAACGGUUUAACAACGAAGGAUACUUUGGAAUUUCUAAAUACUUUGUAUAAAUCUAGUGCAUGCGAAGUAUGACAAGAGUUUUCACAUAGUAGUAAUAAAUCACAAGUGAUUCAUUUGAUAAAAACGAGUAAAGUUAAAUUUUUGAUGUAGAAGACAAGUUUGUAAACAAAACAUAUAUAUGUAUAUGGUUAUAUAUAUGUAUAAAUUUUAAAAGAUGAUUUGGUAUGUUUCGUAAUUGUUGUUCAUAUUCUUACGUUUUUAUUAGAAACUUUGCAUGAAAUAAUCCUUAAGUUUGAUACUAAAGACCUUUUUGUACUUAUCACUUUUGUAAAAAUGGUAAUUAAACAUAUUUAAAUGAUUGUGUUUUAACUUCCUUAAUGUAUAAACAUUGCUCAAAAAUGUUAGAAGGUGUUAAUAAAUCUAUAAACCACUUUUGACAGUUUUACCCUUUACUGUCCCUGUUUUUAGAAAACUCAUAGAAAAAUCCUCGUAAGUCAAAAACUGAAUCCGUCACCUCUGAGAGUUUAUAAAAUGAGUCUACUUUGUUCCUAAUUUUUAUUAUGAUUUUUAGUGGUCUCAAACUAGUGUGAAAAUGAACAUCUUCACAGACUGGUCCGAAAUCACUUCUGAAAUGACAGGCAGUUUUAUAAAAAUCGCCAUAAAUUGUAGAAAAAUCGUAAGAACGCGUGCGAGUAGUCCUUAGAAAGGUAUAAACUUGGACUAUUUGCAUAUUGUACAGUUUUGAAAUAUAUUAAGUUUAAGAUGGUCAAAACAGUCCGUGAACAGGACUCAACUUUUCUGUAGAAAGCUGUCAUUUAAAUUUAAGUUAUGUUUAGUGUUCUAACUUGUAUUCCCCCCCUUAAAACUUGAAUAAAACAUGAAAAUGUAGGGGUAUGAACUCACCUUAUGUGAAUACUUGAAGAAUGGAAAGUUGAAGAUGAACUUUUGGUUGUUGGUUUGAUGCUCCAAAACAGCCACUCUUUUGGCUAUGUUGCUGUCACGAAAAUUUCACAGCAAAAGUGCAAGAAAAAGGGUAGUUUACUCACUGUUUUGAAUCAAUAAUUUUGAGUAUCAAAACAAGUAACUUCCAGGGGUAUUUGGUGGUAAAAAUAUCAAGCAAAAGGAAGGUGUAGAUGGGUGAAAUGGUGGCUGAAACACAAAAGGGACAGCAACCCUUUAGUUCAUGGUUUUGAUGGCUUUGGAAGGAAGUUCUUGUGCUUGAAAAUGAGAUGAAGGUUGAGAGUAAUUACUUGGAGUAUUGGCUGGUCAAAUGAGGGUAAAAUGAAGAGGAAAUUUCGUGGUUAUGAAGGAGGAAAGGGUGGAAGAGGAUAAGGGGACAAAACCUAGACUAGCUUGUGAUGGGAUGUGAGUUUAAGUGAUGUGAUCUUGUCUAGCCACUUGCUUGGGUGGUUGCUUAGAGAUAGAGUUAGUUAACUAACUAACUACUAGUUAUUUAGUUAGUUAGGAGUUCUAGUUAAGGAGAGGGAAGGUCUUAAUCUCGAAAAUUAGAAGAGGGAUUAAUAAGCAUUCUUAGUAAAAUGUCUUAAGUGAUUAAGCACUUAUUAGUUAAGUUGGCACUUAUCUCCACCAAUUCUCUUAUCUUAAUUGAUUUAGACAUCAUAAAACUUACAUGAAAUCACUUUAAGUCAUGACCCAUAACUAGUCAUUCACUAGAUAAUAAUACAUAUAUACAAAUACAUACAUGUAUACUUAGUAUAAAAUAACAAUGUAGUUUUUGUGUAUUUGAACUUUAAUAUUUAUGUUUUAUUCUUUUUAUUCAAAAACACUUAAAUACAUUCUAAUUAUACCUUAUAAUAAUUCAUUUUAUAUUUUAAUUUAUUUAAAUAUAAAAUUUGUUGACCAAUGUAUAAUUUCGUGACAUUUAACCGGUUAACUAUAUCGUUAAACACGUUUUGUCACUUUGGUUCGUAUAUUUGUCAAAUUUAGAUCCUCCACAUCUAUUAAGCAAACGUUUUACAUAGAACCUAACUGACUUAUCAACUAGAGACAUGUUGAUACAAAAAUUAAGUUUGUUGCGUUUAAAUGAUGUUAUAUGAUAAUUUCACAAACCGGCGAUGGUUCGUAGUCAUACAUCAUAACAAAAUUUAUCAAUAGUUACUUGUUUUAUAUUUCACAAUAAUUUAUUUAAAUAAAAGAGGUUAAAUUCCUUCAACCAUUCUUAAUAGAAUACUCAUAUUGCUUAAUAAUCAAAAUAUAGCAUCGUACGAUCUUUCCUAUUUUUACCAAUUGUUACAAAAUACAUUCCAUUUAUUAUAGAAAAUAUUGGAUUUACUGGAGAAACAUACUAACAUUUUCAUGGAACAAAGUCAGAUUUCUAAUACUAAAUACUUAUGAACUCACCAACUUAAAUGUUGAUACUCUCUUUUCAAAAUAACUUGUAUUCUCAGGGAAGCAGUAAACAGGUACACUUACCUAGGUUUUAAGAAGACGGAGCACAUACUAUACUCGUUUUUAUUUUGCUAUACAUUUUGGUGUCAUACAAACAACAUUAAGAACACAAUUUUUAAUUACUAUAUUUUCAAUACUAUGGAUGUUGUUGCUUUAUGUUACUAUUACUCAUUGUUAUGAUACGACGUCCUACGCCACCGAAUGUUUCCACCAACUCGGUUUGGGGGUGUGAUAAUUGAUCAGAUGCUUGUAUGUCGAUGAUAUGUUAAUAUUUGGUACUGAUCAAAGGAAAGUUGACAUUACCGAAGAGUUUUUAUCAUCGUAGUUCUCCAUGAAGGAUAUAUGGGAGGAUGAAUUGAUUCUUGGAAUAAGAAUCAAGCGUGAACAUCAAGGAAUCUCAAUUUCAUAGUCUCAUUACAUUGAUAAAGUUCUUAAGAAGUUCAACUGUUUAGAUUGCUCUCCAGUGAGUACUCCUUUUGAUCCAAGUAUGAAACUUAUGUCAAAUACUGGUAAAGCAGUUUCACAACUUGAGAAUUCAAAAGUCAUUGGUUGUUUGAUAUAUGCAAUGACCAGCACAAGGAGAUUGUUAAAGGUUUCCUUAGGUUAUUUAAGGAUCUUCAUAUUUUGGUUGGAUCACUAAUGUUGAAGACCAUUCUUCUACAAGUGGUAUGGUGUUUCUUCUUGGUGGAGGUGCCAUUUCAUGGGCUUCUAAGAAACAAACAUGUAUCACAAGUUUAACUAUGGAAUCUAAAUUUGUAGCCCUUGCAAGUGGUGGAAAACAAGCAAAUUGGUUGAGGAAUUUGAUCUAUGAAAUUCCUUUGUGGCCAAAGCCUAUAUCAUGUAUUUCUAUACUUUGUGAUAAUGCUACCACCUUGGUAAAAGCAUAUAGUCAAGUCUAUAAUAGAAUAAUACGACAUUUGGGAGUUAGGCAUAGCAUGGUAUGUGAGCUUAUUACUCAUGGUAUCAUGUUUGUUGAGUUUUUUCAAUCUCAACAAAAGUUAGUUGAUGACUUGACGAAGGGAUAGCUAGAGACUUGGAAAAGAAGUAAGUUAUAGGGAUGGGUUUAAGUCCCACUUGAUAUCCCUAUGGGUGAGAUAGACGAUUCCUUUUUUAUACAAUGUUAGAAGUUGAAUUCAAUGUGGAAAGCCUGCUUAUGGAGAUUGACGCACAUUUAUUUACUAAAUCCCAAGGUAUGUUCUUAUAACCUAUAAAUUUAAAGUAGGUUGAUUAAGUUCUUAAUAGUUCUUUUGAAAAAGUGCAUUAAUAUGAUAUAAAAAGACUACAUAUGGGAGUGUGAAGUGAUGCGGCUUCAGAAAUCUUGGGCUAGGCUUUUAUGCACUCAUGAAUGGAUAAGACACAUAGCCAUAAUAAGUAUGAACCAUUAGAUAUUGUGCUUAACUUACGUGUAUAGUUGUAACAACAAUCAAAAUUUGGUCAAAGAUAAUUCCCAUAAAUAUAAAAAAAACAUAUUAUAAUCUUUAAUGCCAUUUUCAUUCAACACUACAAGUAAAUACGAUUCCAAAAAAAUAUAUAACAUGUCUAAAUCUGACUUCGCAUGAAGAAAUUAUGAUAAAUUCUAUCACUAUAGCAUUUGUAACAAUAGGAAUUUAAAAUAGAUUUAGAAUUAGAAAUUGGAGUCUAAAAGAAAGUUGUAGUACUCGGAAAUACCCACACGUUGAUAUAAAGAUCAUGAAAAAUAGAGCUCGUAUGCAAAAGUUAAGGUCUUCCAAAGAUGUAGCUGUCUAAGGGCAUGACACGUGGCAGAAACCCUAGCCGCCUUAAGUCCAUGACGUGAACAUUAAUUCCACGAUGUGAAACUAGUCAAGGACACUAAUCUAGGAUAGAAAACAUGUGGUAAAGCUACGGGAUGACUCAUGGAAGUUCACGACGUGAACAUAGGCAUUUCACGACGAGAAUGUGCCCAGAACAACCUAUAAAUAGCAAGUGAGACCCUUUCUCUCCUUACACCUUCUAUUUUUCUUUCCCUCAUUUUCCAAAGGCUGUUUCUCUUCGUGAGCCUGACAACGAUGAGCCUCUGAUUGUUUAAAUUCUAUAGAUCAUGCUACUAGGGUGAGUUUCACGGGCCCAUUUUUUAAUGGUUUCGGGGGAAAAUGCAUGUUAAAUAUUAUAUAAAAGUUAAUAUUAUGUUUAUAUGAUAGUAUGUUCAUAUCAACAUAGAUAGUUAUAUUAAUCAGAAUAUAGUUGUUUUGUAUCAUAUAUACUUAGAAUAUAUCUGAUAUAUCGAAAUCAUACAACUAUCUUAAACUUUUUAGCAUGUUGUUAUCAUAGGAUAUACUAAUGUAGCCUCAGACUUAUACUCGAGAGUUCUAUAUGUGUUAUAGUCUUGGAGUUAUACUCGGGAGUUCAAUAUAUACUAUUUUUGUUAUAGCAUCGGAGUUAUAGUUGGGAUUUAUAUAUAUACGUGUUAAGUAUGUUGAUAUUAUCGGUUUUAUGUUAGAUAAAACUUGGUUUUACUUCAAGUUAUAACUAUUGUACUACCUAAAUAUUAUGAAAUUAGGAGUAAUGUUUAAAAGUGUAGUCUAGUAAAUUAGGGUUUUAAACAUGAAUAUGCUUUCACCAUUAGAACUAUAUAAGGUCGACAAAGUCUACAUGAGCUAUAUUUACUCAUCAACUAAGAUUGUAAAUCUUAGGGGAAAUCCUCUAACUGUAACCGCUAAUCCCGUGUGAGGGAGGAAGUUGUUGUUGGGUUGUAUGUACUCUAACAUCCCUAUGGUGCACAUACAACCCUAAUGCUUUGGGUCUAAGUGUUCUCCAGUUAUACAUGCAAUAAAAUAUCUGAAGCAUGAAGCCUACAACUAGCAUACAAUUCUAUAUUUGAAUCAUAAAAACAAGUUAGAUGAUUUCCUCUUGUUGUAGCUUUAUGUAUUUGGCCUUUAAGAACUUAGAACCUCAAGUGUGAUGCCUCUAAUAAGUCACAAACACCAUGAAAAAAUGGUGGUCUUUGAGAUAGAGUUUCUUGGCACCAAAAUUGGCUAUGCUUCUCCAAGAAUACAAGUAUCUCCAAUUUUAGGCUAAGGGGUAACAUAUAUAUAGUGUAGGAUUCCUAGAGUCAUGUGUAAACCGUAAUCCAAACACUUAGGCUUAUGACCCAUAACUCAUAUGGGCUAAAUCUUCAUGUACUUUCACAUAAACUUAGCCCAUCACGGAUCAAUAGCUCAAACCAUAUGUAUCAGUGAUUUACAGAAUCAGUCCCCGUUAAUUUAAUUAGUCUAUUUUGAUCACUAAGUUAAUUCCAAAUUAAUUGUUGAUCAGUACUAAUUAAAUAUUAUGAUUUCACAUUUAAUAUAUUAUACAAAUAAUAUAUUAAUAAAUCACAAAUAACGUCUUUCUCAAAUAUCCAUCCUAUCAGAUUGUUCUGGUGAAGGCAACCCAAAAGGACCAUGCUACUCUCGGGUCAAGUACAUACCAAUUAUAGUUAUGGGAUUAGCCACCUAAUCCAAUAGUCUCCCACCUGGAUAAGUCUAAUAACUAUAGCUGCAAGUACGACUUAAAACCCAACUAGCAAUCAUAGCUCUUAAAUGCUAAUGUCGAACUCUGACCUAGUUAAUGACUUGUCCUUUAGAUAAGGGAUCAUAUAUUCCUCCAUUCUAGAUAUCGUAUGGACUGAGACAUGGAUUAUAAUCAUUCUCUCUGUCCAUAUGUUGUUUCUCGAUUUCCAAUUUAUGAUACCCGACUAAUUGAACAAAUCAAAUCAGUCCAUGCUUGGCCAUGCACUUAGGGUUGUCAUCACUAAAUCAUCGAGGGCCACACAUAUAUCGCUUUUAUCCUUCUAAAGGUAAAAGGAAAAGAUAAAAUUUUACUCAUAUGCUUGCUCUAUCUACUCAUCAAAUCACACACAACAAUAUGUUUUAUAACACCAAGUUACUAGUGUUUACAUAUCAUCAAUGUGCAACCGACUUGUAAACUACAACUCAUAUCUCUCAGUUUCAAGAAUAUAAGAUAUUAUCGUCUCACUAAUCACUCGUGAUAAAAUCCAUGAAGUAAUUUAGAUGAGCGUGGGUUUAAUCCAAUACUCAAAUCUUAUAGGAGUACUGACGAACACUGCAUCAAACUUGUGCUAUGUCUAAACACUUUAGACAAUCUACAAUUAGAUUCAUAAUAGUCUUACCUCAUUACUUACUUCCAAAGUAUGAUUGACUGUGGAUGUUUGAAUAACCUAGUUAUUCUGGAAGUCAAUACAUGCAAAGUGAAACACAAGAAUAAUCGAGUCCAAUAUGGUCUCAAAACUUUUGAAUAUAAAUAAAACACCUUUUAUUUAGUCCCCAUAUUGAUUACACAUUAUUCAUUGUUUGAAGUUUUGAUUAAUCAACUUAAUACUUGAAUUAAAACAAUAGUUAUCCCAUGCUCCAAGCAUGCACAAUAUGUUUGUCUAUGGUCCUUACUUUAUGAAACAUAUCAAUUGAACAUAUUUUUCAAUGAAACUCAUUUCACAAUUCCAAAUAUCUUAUCAAAAGUGUAAGAAUGCUAAAUUCUUGCCACUAUUAGAAUGUGUUAGGUUCUAACCUUUAUGCAAUGAUCUUUUUGUAAUGUCAAUGCACUAAAGUCACAGAGACUUGGACAAUGAAAUUACAAAACUUUCCACUGGAGAUUGAUAACAAAACAAUUCCAAGGAAGUAAAGUCUCAAAUUCAAAGUACAUUCCUUUGAACAUCCUUCUUGCAUAAAAGUUUCUAACCUACACGUAGAUUAUUAAUAUCCAACUCUCAUUAUGGAAACAUUUCCAUAUUUUCCAUAUGACAACUCAUUAUUAAUAGAAUUCUGUCUAUUCAUAAGAAUGUCAAUAUGGUCCAUCCAUUACCAUACUUCCAACUGUCCUUAAGCAACCAAUCCUUAGCGAACCUUAGAUCGUCCUUGACAUUUGUUUAACUAAUUUAGUCAUAUCCGAUUCUGGUCUCUUUUACCUCUUAAUGCCCUAGGCAUUUGGAAAAAAAGAAUAAAUGAAUAUUAUAGCACACAUAAUCGAUCCAAUACCUAAAGCAUAUGGGAUACGAUUCAUGAUGUCUUACACUACUUGACCAGUCUCUUGCUAUAAUAUUUCCAUACAUAGAAUUGCUAAUGUUGAAGCAUUCCAACAAGAUGUUCAUAUAUAUCCUUGACUAAAUUUGAUUAAAAUCUCAAUUUAAGCUUUUAGAUUUGAAAUGAAGUAUGAGUUCCUCUCCCUUAAUUAUAGCAAAAAUAACUUUUCAAACUCUGCAACUUUUCGAAUUGAAACUUUUGUUUUCUAUAACUAACGUUGCUAUCACGCAACACUUACCAUAAUUAAUUGUGCUCCCACUAGCAUAAUAAUUAUGUUCUUACCACUACGAAACUUAUGCUUCCACUAGCUUUGACAUGUACCCAGAAAUAAGUUGGACAUCUAGAAAUCAAUACUUGUUGAAUUUCUUACCAAAGUUCAGGUUUCUGAUACUAGAUGCUUUGAUAAGACUUUAUCUAGGCUUCUCAAACUCAUACACCUUUCCUUAGAUAGCUCACAUGUGUGUCUAAACAGUCUUAGAACUUACAACAAUAAGCCUCAAAUGUUUAGACAUUUUUGCCAUUUCUCACAAUUCGAACUAUAAAGAGGGAUGUCAUAAUCAAACUCGAAUUUGAGAAAGCAAAUAUCACAAUUGCUAUCUCCUUAAAAUCUACUUAGUGAAAGAGUUUCCUCACAAUCAUUUUCAUGAAUUGGAGAGAAACCUUAUGAAACUUACAUUUUAUGGUGUAUGUGUUCCUAUCCAUGUGAAUUUUUCAUAACCAUAAUCACAAGACAAGGUUAGUGACAAAUCCAAAUUCAUAUGGACUGAACUUGUUCAAUCCUAAUUUCUUGCCACCUGGAAGCUCAAGGGCCUACCAGUGCUUCCAAGUUGUUGAGCAGAUCACCCUUAAUGAUAAAUGAACUUUCACUGAUCAAGGCGCUUUGCCUUAUGCAAACAAUUGAGAACUUAUAGAAAUAACAUGUAUAGUUAACUUUAACUGGAAUGGGCAUAGAAACAAGAAUAUGUCAACACAAUAGGCUACAAACCUCAAGUCGUGUGCUAGUGAUAAACAAUAGGUUUUAUUCUUGAUUAGCUCUUGAAACUUUUCAAGAUCUUUAAGACUCCCACUGACCUCUUGACAUAUAAGAUUCUCUUUGUCAAGAGUCAUUACUUGACAAGCAAAUAUUCAAGAGUUAGUGUGGUUAUUUUAUCAAGAUAAACACUUCACAUAAUUUCUCUUAGUUGGUCUUUGUCUUAUCCAGGAGAUCACAACCUACCAAUUUCAAAUGUACAAGAGUAAGAAACAUUUUACUCUACAUUUGAUGAGUGUUAUAAACCUUUCUUAAUAUUAUGUCACUCAAGGCUCAAUCUUGGAGUACGGCUCUAAGACUUGAUCUUGGAACGGAGUAUGACUCAUCUUCUUGAUUUAACCAUUUCAACAAUUCACGAUUCCUCUUCUUAGCCAUACAAAUGCACUAAGAUGUCCUUAGAGGAUCAAUUGUGAUAUUGUUUCAUAAUCAAUAAGAUGAUCAUAAAACACGAUACUCAAGUACUCUCCUUUCCUUUCAGAUUGGAGAAACUUUUAUCUUUCUGCCUAAUUGAUUCUUCUUAUGCGUCCUGCUAUACAAUGAAACUUCUUCAAUGAUUUAGAAUUACACCUAGUCUUGUAAGCAUAACCAUAUUUACUAAAUUUUUAGUAAAUCUUGAUGAACAGUCUUAUCGUUUUUUGUGGUGGACCUGACUAGUGCACAACCAAGUGUACCCAAUCUCCUAGUACUUCACUUGACUCACAUAUACACGUGCAUAAGGAAUUAGUCUUAAUUUCCCAAAGACAAAGGUUCUAAUUCAUCACACAAUACAAAUCGCAUGAUUCCAAGUUUCUGUCCAAUUAAAAUUUGGUUGAUGAGAAUCUUUCCUUAUUUGGUCAAUUGUGACAAUACCACAAACUAAUAAUCAAUUCCAUUGCUAACAAUAUAUAAACAUCAAUUUUUACAAAUGCCAUUGCAAGGAAAUAUAAAACAAGAUAAAAUCAAAUUUUUAUUUAUUUAUGAAAUGUGAAAAAACUUUUCCUUACAACGUAAUUAUAAAUGAAAACUAUGUUAUUGCAUAUUCCUAAGCAAUCUAUCAUAACUCCUAAGUAGUGGCUCAAAAAUCCGAUCCUCGAACUAUGCGAUCGAAAUCCAUCUCUCUGUGAUCAGACUCAGCGCACUCUUCCUUUAAGCUUCCUUUUGUUUCUUUGAUCCUACAAAACAUCAAAAUGCAAUCUUUUCACAUCAUGUAUUAAGAAUCAACAAAUAGGAACUAAACCGAGUUAGAUAGUGGGCUUACGUGAAGCAUAGUCAAACACUUUGACUUCACCAUCCUUGUGGUCCUUCAGAUAGAUAUGGUAGCUUCACAACUAAUGCCCCUUCUCUUGGCAGUAGAAGCAAACAAAUUCUUUUGAAAUGAUACAAGGGACUAUCUCAGACUUAGACUUUCUCUUUACCACUUGGUCAAAUGACUUGACCAUGGCCGAUCCAUGGAAGUUUGGGAGGUAGAUCUUCCAACCAAAUUUGCAUUACCAGUGUGCCAAAUCAUUGUUAAUUCAACAAAAAUUAGCAAAUAUGUAAGAUCAAUAAGGGUCAUCUUGCGGUCUCUCAUAAAUAAGGGUCAUGUUGCGGUCUGUCAUAUAGUAAUCUUUGAUGAACUCACUAUACGACUCAGGAAGUGAUUGAAGAACCCAGUAAACAGCCAACUUCCUUAAGACAACGACACCCAAUAUUCCUAGCCUAUCAAUAUGUGACCUCAUCUCAAAGACGUGAGCACAUACAGACUUUCCAUCUUCAUGUUUGCUUGCCAAUAGGGCUUGAGUAACCUUCACAUUCUCAAGUCUUCGAACAUGUGGGUUAAGGAUAAUUAUUAGAGGAGGUGGAGGAAGUGAAGUAUGAUUUCCAUUUCCACGAUCCAAUCGUGGAAGAUCAUCUUCAUAAGUAAAACUUUUUCCAAAAUAUUUGGGAAGACCAUAGUUGUCUGAACUAGACAUCUACAAGGGAGAAAUUCAAGUUUAGUUAAUUUAGGUCCUUAAUAUAACACCCAAAUGAAAUAUUAAGGCUAGGACCUAACACAAUAUUCUACAAUUCAGGAGAUGGAUGUCGUAAUCCAAUUGCAAAAUAUUUGAAGGUAAGUAAAUGACGAUUUACCAAUUUCCACCAUGAAAAACGAAAAUGAACUUUAGGUUUUAAAUGAAUUGAAUUUCCUAGAUCUUUUGAUAUUCAUUGAACUUUUCACCGGCAUGUUUAAUCUUUAUUAUUCCCUUCAAGUUUGUGACUGGGAUACCGAGGAUCACAAACAAGGUGUGAAUAACCAUGCAAAUUAGCUUGGUACUCUCGAAGUUAUUUAUCACAUAAUCAAUGUGUCGGUUAACCACACACGCUCCAUUGAUUUAUGACAAACAUCGAGCUACCCUUUGCCACCCUUCUUAGUCCAAGUUAGUGUGCCGGUUAACCACACAUGCUCCACUAACGACUUGGGAAGGUGCAAAGUGCAAUUUCAUGGGUUAGCAUCAAAUUCACAUUUUUCUUAAAGUAACUAAGAUUGGGAAUUUAUAAAAGUAUUUAGUCACUUUGUAUUUCAUUAUACUUUUAAUGGAAGUUUGUGUCCUAUCCUACCCGUUUGGCUAAUGACCCUCCAGUAGUUAAUAGUGUGGUGGGUAAGGGUGGAUACCCAUUCAAUCGCCAUUUUAUAGGCAAUUGCCUUAAACACCCCUUAUAGAUCAGCUUCGUGAAUAUGGCCUACUAACGGUAAUACUGACUUUUUACUUAUACAUAUAUAAUAUAUUAAACUUUUAAUUUUAUAUAGUACAAGGGUGUAUUUUAAACUUUUAAAGUACUUAAUGGUUUAAUCUAUUAAUAAAUUAUACUCUUAAUUUAAUUAAACUUAAACCAUGUUAUUAUGGAUUUAUUAAUAUUCUCAUUUAAUUAAACACUUUAAUUAACUUAAUGAAAUUAAUAACAGUGUAAUUGAACUAUUCAAAAAAAAAAUCAAGGUUCUAAAUAUAAAAAGACAAAAUUGCAAAAAUGGUCCCUGUGAUAUGCAAAAUUUUGGGGUUUUAAUCCAAACCCCGAGUUUUUUGGAUUUAUGGUCCUUUUAGAGUGGUUUGUAUGUGGUAUUGGUCCCCAUACUUAACUUCCGUUAACUUGAUGUUGUUAACCCCCUCAUGUGCCUCUCACAUGAGGGUAUAUUUGUCUUUUUACUUCUAAGGGACCAUUUUUGCAUUAAAAAAAUAUAUAUCCCUCUUUUUCUAAAUUAAUACCUAUUUAUUUAUUUUAAUAAUUAAAAAAUAAAAUCUCUCUCUCUCUCUCUCUCUCUCUCCAUUUUAGAUCCAAACUCGAUUUCAUAUUUGAAAAAUGAUUUCAUGUUCUGGGGAAUGGAGAAAUGGGCACACAACAUAAUCACCAUCAUCUUUCCCGUAUCAUCACCCUCCUCUAUUGUGAAAUCCAUCUUUAAUUUUAGAGACCACAACUCCAAUUUACCCCACCCCCAAAUUUAUUCCUGUCGCUCUGUACCUCCAGUCCUUCGGUGAGAAUCACUAUGGUCCAGUGGUCACUGAAGAUCUUGAUCUAAAUCCGAAAGAUGGUGGUUUCAUCUGAAAGCAGAUCAACGCUUGAGAAGCUAAAACGAUUUUAUUUGUUGGGGUUCACAUCAGACACAACAAGGCAAAAAUGGGUUUGGAAGGAAAUGACGGCGAUGACAACGGAUGUGGAAGGAAAGGAUGUUUGUUCGUCGGAGUUCAUAUCGGAAACAGCAAGGCGACUGUGGCAUUGAAAGGGAAAGGUUGUGGUGACGAAGACAGUGGAAGGAAACAAUAUGAUGUUUUGGUGGUUGUUGGUACUUAUCUAGGGCUUGAUAGUGUUUAAAAUUGAUGUGGUGAGAAAUAUGAUGGUCGAUUGGUCGUUGGGUGUCCUGUCACAACUCUAAUUUCCAGCUACCUAAUGGCUUCCGACAAUGAAUGUGGUAUCUAAUGGCUUUGAAAUCGAUUUGUGCAUGCAUUUUUGUUUUUGGAGAAUGUGUGUGUUCUCAUUUCAGGAAAUCAAUUUGUUUGUGGGUGUUUAACCCCAUAAAUUGAUUUGUAAGUGGGUGUUCUUGAAUGACAUGUGUGGUAUGGAUUGAUUAAUGAUAGUUCGGUCUUGUGUACCAGAAGAACAUUAGGGUUCUACUUUGGUGGAUGUUAUUGGAUUUUGUGGAUAUCGUAGGGGGGAGAGAGAGAGAGAGAGAGAGAGAGAGCUUUUUAUUUUUUAUUUAUUAAAAUAAAUAAAUACGUAUUAAUUGUUUUUGAAAAAAGGAAUAUAUCUUUUCAGUGCAAAAAUGGUCCCUACCUUUGAAGUGAAAACACAAAUAUACCCUCAUGUGAGAGGCACAUGAGGGGGUUAACAACAACAAGUUAAAGGAAGUUAUGUCCGAGGACCAAUUCCAUAUACAAACCACUACAAAAGGACCAUGAAUCCAAAAAACUCAGGGUUUGGACUAAAACCCCAAGAUUUUGAGUACCACAGGGACCAUUUUUGCAAUUUUGUCAUAAAAAAAUUCAAAAGUACAAACUAUUUAAUUAAUUUUUAGGUUAUGAACCCAAAAGUUGCACCUUUAUAAUUACAAGAGAUUUAGAAAUCAAUGUUUCAUAAUUUGAGACUUUUCAAAUAGCAAAACUUGAGGGAAAGUUUUGUAACUCUUGAAAAACUUUUUUAGUUCCAAACUUGAUGACAAAAUUUUUAACACCAUAAAAAAAAUUUUGAGUUCCAAAACUUGUUGGUAAGUUUUGUAACUCCUAAAAACAUUUAGAUCAAAUUUGAAAACCAAUAAAAUAAUCAUAAUUUUAUCUUUUACAAAUAGGACAUAACGCAACUCUUAUAGCAAAACAAUUCAAAUCAAACAAUACAAAUAAUCAAAUUAUCAUAUAAUCAAAUCAUUAUCUUAAAAUUUGGUAAUUGUCUUCUAAUUUGGAUGAAGGUAAUCAUUACCUCUUAUCAUAAAAAAUGAUUCCUUAUUAGUCAAAACAGUUUGUGGUAAUGAUUAUGAUCCAAAACAUGGCCAAAAACUUGAAAAUCUGCAAACAGAUGCUCCACCACAUCAUGGUAACUUUGACCACGUCAUGGUCAUCUGUCGGAUUCCACAAAACGAUUUUCUUUUGCUUUCAACAACCAACCAAUGCAUCAAUAUAACAGAAAACUAGUCAUGGCUUUGAUACCACUGUUGGAUUUUACGUACUCUAACGUCCCUAUGGUGCACAUACAACCCUAAUGUUUUGGUUCUAAGUUUUCUCUAGUUAUACAUGCAAGAAAAUAUCCAAAGCAUGAAGCCUACAACUAGUAUAAAAUUCUAUAUUUGGAUCAUAAAAAAUAGUUAAAUGAUUACCUCUUGUUGUAGCUUUAUGUAUUUGGCCUUUAAGAACUUAGCACCUCAAGUGUGAUGCCUCUAAUAAGUCACAAACACCAUGAACAAAUGGAGGAAUGUGAGAUAGAGUUUCUAGGCAUCAAAAUCGGCUAUGCUUCUCCAAGAAUACAAGUACCUCCGAUUUUAGGAUAAGGGGUAUGUUGCAUCUAAAAUUAAAGUUUAUACUUUGCUUUUGUAGUCAAUUGUAAUUUUCAGUCUAGGACCACAAAUAGCUUGAUGUUUACGGCUAUACGUAUGUUUACGGUUGUGUUUACGGCCGUAAACCCAUUUAUGACCCAUAUUCCCUAAGUGUNNNNNNNNNNNNNNNNNNNNNNNNNNNNNNNNNNNNNNNNNNNNNNNNNNNUGUAUAUAUAUAUAUAUAUAGGUGUUAGGUGGUUGAGGAGUGAUUGAUGAACAAAAGAGAGUUUACGACCAAGAGAGAGAGAAAGGAGCAUAAGUGUGUGUUAGUGUUUGAAUCUUGUGUAAGGAACUUCAUUCUAAUCAAAUCAUACAAGAUUCAUCUUCUUCUUAUUCUUAUUCUCUUCUAUUUUGAUCUAGCAUCAUCUGUUUGAUUGGGAUUCUGCACCAUCAAACGGAUCUGAUUGAUACACAAGCAGAUUUGGGACUUACAAGUGGUAUCAUAUCCGUUUGAUGGUGCAAAAUCUCAAUCAAACGGAUGAUGCACGAUCAAAAUAGAAGAGAAGAAGAAUAAGAAUAAUAUCAAUCUUGUAUGAUUUGAUUAGAAUGAAGUUCCUUACACAAGAUUCACAUACUAACACACAUUUAUGCUCCUUUCUCUCUCUCUCUUGGCCAUAAACUCUCUUCUAUUCAUAAAUCACUCCUCAAACACCUAACACUUGUAUAUAUACUUGGGGAAUAUGGGCCAUAAAUGGGUUUAUGGCCGUAAAUGGGUUUACGGCCAUAAACACAACCGUAAACAUACAUACAUCCGUAAACAUCAACCUGUUUACGGUCCUAGACUGAAAAUUACAAUCUCCUAGAAAAGCAAAGUAUAAACCAUAAUUUUAGACCCAACAAUCCCCCUCUUGGUUUAGAGCUUUCUUUUCUAAUUGACCCAACACACUCCCCCUAAAAAACUAGCUGGCUUUUCUUGUUAAUCUUCAUUUGGAGUUUGGAUUUAGCUUUAAUCUUCGAUAUCUUCAUGACUUCAAGAUGAACAUAUGAAUCUUCAAUAAAUGAUGUCAUCUUGAGCAGUUAGGCUUUUAUUUAGAAUUUGACAUUGAACUCACAUUGAGUGAGGAGGCUUGUUGCACUGAUUCUUGAAAAAUGGCGCUUUCAGCUUGAGAAUCUUUAGAGUGAAAAAUAGAGAGAUCUAAUCUUCGGGAUCACUUCAGCAGGUUCAUAGAUAGCAGUACAUUGAUUGAGGAGACUUCAAUGCAAUAUGUCACAUAAUCUUCAACUACAGCUUCACCUUGAUUUUGGGGUUGAAGGAUUGAAUGUUGAAAGAAUAGUCUUCAUUUCUUACUCCCUCGAAUGAGAAUUCUUUGAUGAUCACGGAUGAAGCCUUGGCUCAGAAAUCUCGAUAUAGUCUCCAUGAGUCGCAUCUACAUCUAAUUUCACUUUUCAAGACAAAGCAAAAACUAAAAGAAAACUUUGCACACAAUAUUUUUAGAUUUUUCAUAUUUUCUAGAAAAAUAAAAAUAGAAACAAGAAUAUCUUUGGAUUUUUUAUUUUUCUGAACAAUAAACAAAUCAGAAAUAACACUAUUUUUGGAUUCUUUUUGUAUUUUUGUUUUAUUUUUGAACUUUUUUUUAAUUAUCCCCCUAAAUUUGUGCAUUGAGGAAAACUAUGAACAAAUUUGACAAAAACAAAAACAAUAUAUGGGAUCAAAUUUGUGAGACAGCCUUAACUUUAUUUCUCAGUACCUUCACCUUCAUGAAUAGAUUUGGUCAAUUGCCAGUAUUGUGGCCCACUUAAACAUGAAGGAUAUCGACAAUUUUUUUAAAUAUACCAUUUAGCUGACGAGAACCACGAGUAUUGUUGUCCACUUAAAUUAAGCGGCCAGAUCUACAUACAACCUCUUAAAUGGUUCAAUUUUAGUUGCACUAGAACGUGUUCCCCACUUCCCGAUAUACCCUGGUUAUCAAGAACUUCCAAAUAGCUCCUUACUUAAGGUGAGUAAACAAUUAUUAAAGAGGAAGUCAGAUUUAGAUAUAGAUGCAUAAGUUGUGUCCCAGGUCGGAUCUCUUUCAAUCACGCAUAGGGGACAACAUAUGACUAACAAAGAUAGAGGGAUUGAGAAGUAGAAUGUUGCAUAUGAUGUGUCCCAGGUCGGAUCUUCCGAUCACACAGAGGGGACAACAUAUGGCUAACAUAUAGAAAGAAUUUCAUAGAUAAGGAGGUGCAUAGAAUUAGAGUUGCAUAUGUUGCAAUCCAGGUUGGAUCUCUUCCAAUCACGUAGAGGAAGCAACAUAUGACUGACAGAUACAAAGAAGAAAAUAAUUUCCUAUAGACCUACUUUAUCAAAAUACCCCAGUCGCCCUAGCAGAACCAGAAGUAAGGACAUAAGUCCAUACAUAAAGGAAAAGUUGAACCACUGUUCUAGAUGCGUAUUAAUUUAGUGUAUCCCAUAGGUUCCCAUGCUUAUCUCACUGCUCAAUAUGCCCGAGCGUCGUAUGGUAAAUCCAAACAAUCCUAUCUAAAUCCACACUGUCAAAUCCUUCGAGCCUACCAGCACAUUGAACAUAAAGUCUAAACAAUUUAGAUUUUGUCCUUUACACAUGUUUUAGACUGCCCGUUAUCACUUCCCGAUUAACAAAACUAACGAAAAACUAUAAGAAAAUAAAGAAAAUUGUCUUUAAAAUGAAUCAUUCUAAGAUAAACUCAGGAGUAUAGAGAAGAAAAAUCAAACUGUAAUUCACCGAUUGAAUUUGCAUCCAUAAGGUCUGAGUACAGCACGCAUAAUCUCAUAAUAGAUCCGAAGAGUAAUCCAUUCCUUUCUUCCUUUCCCGCAAAGGACACAUACUCUCAAACAAAGUUCUAAGUGUUACAUAGUUGAGAGAUGUCCCCUAUCAUGUGCCUGGAACAGCCACUACCAACAAAACAAAGUCUGAUGAUAUCCCUCCAUAGCUGCUCCAGCACAGAGCGGGAUCGGUUGGUCUUUGGAACCCAGUCCAUUUUGAAACUGGGUUGACCUUUGUCAUCUUUGCAAGGUACUCUCUCCCAUGACAUGUCCUUUUUAUCACAAACAAAAGAUGAAGAAAUAUUAGAGUCAUUAGGUGAUUUGGGAGAUUGAACCUUUGGUACCCAUUUAUAGUCGGGUUUAACCCAUUUCUUGUUCGAUCCAAUGGGUGCCUCAGUACUGGCUUUUGAAGUUGAAGCCGAUCGUUGAGAUGACUUUGAUCUGACUGAUCUUGAUUUCGAUGGAGCAUCUCUUGGAUUUGAAUUCCUUGCCGGCAUACCCUUCUUGUUGUUGGGAGUUGAUUAAUUGGCCUUGGGAGUUGAACUCUAGCCCUUCGUGUCAUUCCAGUCGCCAUUGUUCGAGCGUGGACUCGAAGGGUUUCUUUUGGAAAAUCUCCUUCUUGGCGUGUUCUGCCAGCCUUGUGCGUAGUAGGGAACGUAUGCGCGAUUAUGACAAUUUCUGGCAAUGUGUAUAGAUGUUCCACAGUGAAAGCAAAUCUUUUGAUUCACUGAGAAGUUGUUUCUUCCUGCCCCUAGUGACGUACCCUUGCCUUGUCCCUUAUUAUUCCCACGGGAACACUUGAAGCAACUAGUCUGCUUUGGUUGUCUUUGGUGGCCUGUAUUUGUCAACAACAGCUUGAUCCGAAGCAACUGAGUUUCAAGCAACAGAUUCUGAGUUCAAGGAGUCAUUGGUUUGUUCAAUAGUGUUCUCCUUGUUCUCAUCAUUUGCUACUUUACCAGCAUAGGAAGUAGAAACAUCAGUAUUCUUCACCUCAACACCCUCGGUUGGCCCUGAUUGUUCAGUCUUAACUGGAGUUGGUUCAGCGGUUUGGUUAAACUGAGUAGGAAUUUCUUCCUCAUUUGUCUCAAGAGGUGUGUUAUAGUUGUCAUUGAAGGGAGGUGGUACAUUGUGAUACCCUAACCCCUUAGUUUGAUUAUCUUUGAAAGUGAAUUGUUUUUCAAUCAUCGAUGCAACUCCCUCACUUGACACAUCAAAUUUCUUAAAGUUGAAUUCAACAUUUUUAUAUUUUGCUUUUAAUGCAUCAAGUUCAGCAGUUACGGUAUCAAAAUCUUUCUUAAGAUAUCUAUAAUGAAUGCAUUUGUCACUGUACUCUGAUUGUAAUUUCUUAAAGUCAUUAGUCUUGGCCUCUAAUUGUUCUUUUAAUGGUUUCAUGUCUUUCCUAAGUUGGUACCCCUCAUAUUUAAGUUCCUCGUUUUCUCUUUUUAAUAAAUCGAUGUGUUCAUAUAAAAUUUUAACAGUUUUAAUGCAAGUUUUAGAGCAUGAAACUUCAUUGACCGGAAUGUUUGAGGAAUGCAUUGUUUUUUAAAAAUAUGCCCUUUGACUUAAAACUCAAAAGUCAACUUUAAAAGUUAAAUUUAAAAAGUCAAACUUAAAAGUCAAACUUGAAAAGUCAAACCGAAAAGCUAAAUUUGAAAAUUUGAAAGUUAAACUAGAAAGUCAAAGUUUAAAGUUAAAGGUCAAACUUGAAAAGUCAAAGUCAAAAUUUGAGGUCAAAAGUCAAAAAUUAAAAACUACAAUUUUUGGUUGAAAAUGAAAUUUAUAAAAUAAAAAAAAAAUUGAUUUUUUGGCUGAAAGUGUCAAAAAUUGCGAAUUUUGGUUUGAAAAGGAGUCCUUUUGAAUUAAAUCCUGGAGGAAUGAAACAUGUUGCUUCUUAGUCCAACUGGUAAGGCACUGGAAAGGAUGAGGCGAGGCACCCGAGUUCGAAUCCAGGCACCCCCAAAAUCCCCUUCCCUUUUUUUAAUUAUAGGCCGAGAACUCUUGCUGGGCUAUAAACGUUCGUAGGCCAUAAACUGAUUACGACCGUAAACUCCAAGAAACCCUAGCCAUAAACGUCGCCGCCGCCGAGAAUGUAGGGUUUUGAGCAUUCUAACACUCCUAAGGUAUACAGGCAACUCUAGUAAACCUUGGAUCUAUGUUUGUCUAAAUACAUGCAAAAUACUUUUCCAAGGUUCAUAAUCCUAUUUGGCAUACAUGGGGAACUUUAAACAUAAAAGAUUGCUAGAAUUACAUACCUUGUAGUUGAUGUGACAACCCGAAAUUUAUUCCGUCAAUGUAACCCACUUUCGUUAAUAAAAUUUAUUUUUAUUAAAAAUUUUCCGUUAACUUCUUAAGUUAAGUAAAUCAAUUGGAGUUAUUGUCGUAAUUUCAUACGUGACGGAAAACGAAAAAUCACGCGAAACUCAACCCUAUAUAAGGGUUGAGUGGUCUUCAUUCCCACCUUGGCCAUAAACUCAACCCUAUAUAAGGGUUGAGUGGUCUUCAUUCCCACCUUUUCACACUCUAGAAACUUGCUCUCUCUACUCUCUCUCUACAAAUUCGGGAUUUGAUCAAGAAACACUCCUUCAAGCUUCACAUAAGUAAGUAAACCUCCUCCUAACUAGUUGUUUGCUUAGCAUACUUGCAAAUCUAUGGAUUAAACAUCCGAAAAGCCCAAGAACAUUAGGUUUACGGUUUGGGAACCUCCCAAAAUCGUAAACACCCCAAAAAGGGGUUUUGAUGCCCCAAACUCCUUCUAAUGCUUGGCAAAUGAACUAGGAACUUGCAUGAAUGAUCUAAGAACCCCAAAACAUGAAAUGAAAGGAGUAAACAUGAGUUUACGGUUUGGGGACCUCCUAGAACCAUAAACACCUCCUAAGGUUGUUAAAAUGCCCUUAACACCUUCUAUGGCUUAUAUAAGUGACUAGAACUUUACAUGCUUAACCUAGAUGCACCAAAACAUAUAAGGAAGAGACAAACAUGAGUUUACGGCUGUAAACUCAUGUGUUUACGGCAGUAAACUCCCUAAAUAGGGAUUCAAAAAGUGUAAACUCCAUAAAGGGUCCAUUUCAAUCCCCAAACACUUCCAUAGCCCUUGAUUCGAGUCUAGCAUAAUUCUUUGACUAGUUUAAGACCUUUGAGCACCCAAUAACACCAUUUCCAUGAGUUUAUGGCCGUAAACUCAUGGGGGAAAUGGUCCCGGAACCAUAAACACCCCUAAGGGCCCCCGUUUGAAGAGUAAACUCCAUAGUGAGGCCAUACACUCCUUAGAUGCAACUCGUCUCACUCCUAACACUUGUGGUAAAGUGUUUUCAUGUAUUAGGAGGUCCUUGUAUAAAUAGUUAUUAAAUGACUAAUUAGAUUCCUUUAUGUAUCACUUCAUGUUACAUAGGAUCUGUGGGUGUGUUCAAGUCCUCACUUAACACCUAGCAUCCUACCCGGCACUCCCAUCCAUUCCACUCACUACAGGUGAGUUCAUACCCCUACACUUUUUUUUCUGAGUUUUUCACGAUUUCAUGGGGGAAUACAAGAAAAAGUACAAGGGAACUUGUACUCAAAACCUAUUAUUUCAUAUGAAAUACUUACAUGUCCAAUAUGAUUUUAACACACAAAACCGUUUUACCAACCGAUUAAGAAAUCAACUAGUAGAGAUAGUUUUCAAACUAAAGCAAGGAAACUCGUGAAUCUCAUCAUAAAACAUUACAUUUUUUAUUUUACAAAGGAUUCAUGCAAAUCAUAAAAUGGGAUUUUCCAUAUUAUUACUUGUAAAUUCAUUAUUCUUAAGAUUGGAGACACGUCCUUGGUAACACUCCACCAGAAUACGCAAGUGUAGGACUAACCCUGUAACCAGAAUCUCUUGGAGGGAGAACGUGAAUAUUGUGUAUAGAUCUAUACGGGACUGACUACCCCGCACCUCGCUACUAGCUACAAUGGGACCGGCAGGUCUACAGGUGACAAAGUCAUAAAAGAUAUUGGCCCCCGUUAUGCGCCAUAUCCAGUUUAUUGUAUGGUUAUAGAACUCGCAACUUAGAUAAUGGAGAUUUACUUUUGGUAAUAAUGAACCUAGUGAACUAACCUCAAAGUAAUAAUUGUUUUGAUUACUAGAGGGUAUCUGCAAUACCCUUAGGAAUUAGUUAACUACUUACUUAUUAGUUUUAUGUAUGUAUUAAAGCUAAUGCAUCUCAUUCAGUGUAACAUAGUUUUUCAAGAAAACUACUCCUAAUGAUACAAGUAUGGUAGAUACUUGUACACUUCAUUUUCAGGAUCGAUAACCGACUAUUAACUUUUAAGGAAAAUAUGGGUUUUUCCUGAGAUAACUUAACUUUUCAUAAACAGGUUGUUUAACAAAGGGAUAAUUAAACUUCUUAUAUAAGAAAAUAUGGGAUUUUCUUGGGAAACAACUUUUCAUAAAACCAAAGGAACAUUUUUUUUCAUCAGAAUCAACCGCUUAUGAACUCACCAGCUUUAUGCUAAUAUUUCUAAAACUGAUUGUAUUCUCAGCUCAACCAUAGACAGGUAUUUCUACCAACUUUUGUAGAAGACGAAGCAUAUAGAAGUCUCGUCUUUACUUUUUGAUUAUACUGAUGUAUAUAAACUAUGUUUUCAAUGUUUUAAACAAAUGUAAAUAUUCUUAUUGUAAUGUAAUGGUUUUGUUUACUAUGCUUUUUAUAUACAAUGGUUGUGAUACUACACAUGACGUCCUCCGCCCCGGAACGUCUCCGCCACCGGUUUCAGGGUGUGACAGAUUGGUAUCAGAGCAAUUGUUUAUAGUGAACUAAGUAUACCGAACCUGACAUGGUAUACAACUAUAAACACUAAGGGGCCGAAGUGCUCUGAACUAAAAGUAUACUUUAAAAAUAUAAGUAUUUUUACUCCAAGUAUACAAGUAUACCUACAUACCAGAAUCAGUAUCAUGAAAAGAACCAAAUAAUAGUAUUUGGAUGUUGAACACUGUGGUUAAACCUAGGCAGUUAUGUAAUCAUGUCUAGGGUCAAUAUAGCCUGAUCAACUAUAUUCACUCGAGACAUGACCAACAUGUGCUUGGGAGUGACUGUGGGGUUGCAACAGGCCUAAAACUUACCAAAGUCUUCCUACCAAAAGUUAUCGAUAGAACAAAACCUUCAACAUAAAAUACUAUAGGAGUAUUUUAGUCAGAGUCGAAUACAUUGUAGAAAUUCAUUCCAAGUGUUGCUACUCAUUCUUUCCUUAGCGAUAGUUUACUUGCUUUAGUAACUCUUUCUUGUUCUAUCGCUUAGUAACACUUUAUCUAUCAUAUAGAGAUACAUCUUGUUUCGUAUCUUCAAAUUCAAUUCAGUGGACUUACCAUCCUCUCCUUCCUGAUCAUUUUUAGAACGAGAUGCCUCCAAAGAAAAGACCCAGCUCAAAGAACAACAAUCCUCCUCCACCACCUCCUCACUUUGAUCCCGCUAUGUUUCAAGAAUUUGUUAUUGUUGUUGUGGCUGCCGCGAUGUCAUAAAUGAACCCUGGCGGUUCAGGCGGGCCAGGAGGUGGUUCCCAUCCUCAAAAUCAGGAAGUUGGUCAGGGACACCAGAAGGAGUGUUCCUAUAAGGACUUCAUGAACGCAAAACCCACAUCCUUCGAUGACACUGGAGGUGUUAUUGCCCUGACGCAAUGGUUCGAAAAGAUCGAGUCCAUUUUCGAAAUCUGUUCAUGUUCUGAAGUCAACAAAGUAAAAUUCGCUGCUUGCACCUUCGCCAAUAGGGCACUAACCUGGUGGAAUGGUCGGGUCAAAUCCCUAACCCUACCAGUGGCAAACGCUAUUGGUUGGGAGAGUUUGAAAGAGCUCAUGCUUGCUGAGUACUGCCCUCGGGGCGAAAUGCAGAAACUAGAGCACGGACUCUGGAACCUAAAGAUGAAGGGUUCCGAUGUUGUUGCCUACACUUCUAUGUUUUAAGACCUAGCACUCCUUUGCCCGGGGAUGGUCACCCCGGAAAGCAAAAAGACUGAAAGAUACAUUUGGGGGCUGACCCAGCCAACCAAAGGAAAUGUCUUGGUUGCUAGGCCAAACACCUACGACAACGCUAAGUGCCUGGCGCAGACUCUGAUCGAUCAUGGAUUCGAUCUCGAUGAAGUGAUCACCAUUCUUGAUCCGGCUAAAGGGAGCAGUGAGAAAAGAAAAUUCUGGAAGCAGAAGAAGGGUCAGUCUUCGCAGGAGCCCUCAAAGAAACAACAAACGGUGGUAGUCCACGCUGCUACUACCCCUGUCGCUACUCCUGCCAUUGAAGCACCUAUCAGUAAAUAUGUUGGUACCCUUCCUUGGUGCGACAAAUGUAACUACCAUCAUAAUCCUGGCCCAUGUCUUGAAAUGUCAUGCUCUAAAUGUGGCAAAAAGGGGCAUACGAUUCGAUUUUGCAAGGCACCAACUCAAACAACCAAUCAAUCGUCUGGAGUAGACAUCGGUCAAGCCUGUUAUAAUUAUGGAAAAGUCAGGCACUACAAGAGAAUCUGCCCCAAGACAAUAACAACUGAUGGCACAGGAAGAAUACUGACGAUGCGACGCGAGGACGCAGUCGCUGAUCCCAUAGUUGUUUCGGGUACGUUCCUCCUUGACAACUCUUAUGCAUGCAUUCUUUUCGAUUCUGGUGUUGAAAGAAGUUUUGUUAGUCAUGCAUUCAAGCACCUUCUUAAACAUAAACCCAAACCAUUAACCAAAACGUUUACUGUCGAGAUGGCUAACGGUGAGAAAGAGAGCACUAACGAUAUAUGCGUAGGCUGCACUCUUACCCUAAACGAUCAUUCCUUUCCCAUCGAUCUUAUGCCAGUUUCCAUAAAGAGCUUCGAUGUCAUCAUUGGCAUGGAUUGGUUAUGCCCCAAUCAUGUUGAUAUCCUGUGUUUUGAAAAAGCUAUCCGACUCAAUCUCCUCUCUAGUGAAACCCUCAUGAUUUGUGGUGAUAAACUCAACUCCAGCCUUUGUAUCAUUUCGUGUAUCAAAGCCCAAAAACUUAUGUGAAAGGAAUGCAGUGCAUUCCUAGCUCAUGUUGUAAAUGAGAAAUAAGAAGUUAAAGACCUCGAGAGCAUCCCCGAGGUCUGCAAUUUUUCUGAUGUCUUUCCAAAAGAACUUCUGGGAAUUCCUCCUGAGCGUCAGGUCGAGUUUCGCAUCGACUUAAUCCCCAGAGCUACCCCCGUAGCUAAGUCCUCAUAUCGCCUAGCGCCAUCAGAAAUGCAAGAGUUGUCCAGCCAGCUCAAUGAGCUGCUCAGCAAAGGAUUCAUCAGACCAAGUUCUUCACCCUAGGGACCCCCAGUUUUAUUUGUGAAAAAGAAAGAUGGAUCCUUUUGGAUGUGCAUUGAUUAUCGAGAGCUAAAUAAGCUCACAGUCAAAAACCGUUACCCUCUUCCUCGAAUCGAUGACCUCUUCGAUCAACUUUAGGGAGCCAACUACUUCUCAAAAAUUGAUUUAAGAUCAGGGUAUCAUCAACUACGAGUCUGUGAGGUUGAUGUUCCUAAAACAACAUUUCGGACUCGAUAUGGCCACUACGAAUUUGUGGUAAUGCCCUUCGGUCUAACCAAUGCACCAGUAGUGUUCAUGGACCUGAUGAACCGGGUGUGCCGUCCUUUCUUAGACAAGUUUAUUAUCGUGUUCAUAGACAGUAUACUUGUCUAUUAAAGAAGCAAGGAAGAUCACAAACAACACUUGAGAUUAGUGUUGGAAACUCUAAGAACAGAAAAGCUAUACGCGAAAUUCUCCAAGUGUGAAUUAUAGAUUCGGAAGGUAACUUUUCUGGGUCACGUGGUGAGCGAGGAGGGCAUACACGUGGAUCCGUCCAAAAUCAAAGCAAUAGAGAAUUGGUCAACACCGAAGAAAACCACAGAAAUCCGUCAAUUCUUGGGUCUUGCUGGCUAUUAUCGUAUAUUCAUCCAAAAUUUCUCCAGAAUUGCCAAACCCCUAACCACUCUAACUCAGAAAAGCAUAUCUUUUUGUUGGAGUGAAAAGCAAGACAUUGCAUUCCAAACAUUGAAGCGAGCCAUGUGCAGUGCACCUAUCCUGCCUUUGCCCGAAGGGAUGGAAGAUUUUGUGGUCUAUUGUGACACAUCCAAUCAUGGCCUAGGCUGUGUGCUCAUGCAACAAGGAAAGUUUAUCGCCUAUGCCUCGAGGUGGUUGAAUACACAUGAGGCAAAUUACACAACUCAUGACUUGGAGUUAGGAGCAGUGGUCUUUGUGUUAAAAAUCUAUAGACACUACCUCUAUGGAACCAAGUGCACUAUCUUCACUGACCAUAAGAGAUUGCAGCACAUCUUUAACCAGAAGGAGUUAAACAUGAGAUAGCGACGAUAAAUCGAGCUACUCAAUUACCACGACUGAGAAAUUCGCUACCAUCCCGGCAUGGACAAUGUGGUAGAAGACGCCCUCAGUCGAAAGGAGUAUUCAGGGCGUAAGCUGAAGGCACUAACAAUGACCAUCCAUUCCUACCUGUCGCACAGAUCUGAGAGGCUCAGUUGGAUGCCCUAAAACCAGAGAACGUGUUGAAUGAAGCUUUGAGGGGAAUGGAUAAGAAUCUUGAGAUCAAAGGAGACGGAGUUCAUUGUUUCAUGGACCGGAUCUGGACCCCAAAGUUCGGCAGAUACAGGGAGGUUGUCAUGAACGAAGCUCACAAGACCAGGUACUCCGUUCACCCAGGUUCGGAUAAGAUGUACCUUGAUCUCAAGAAACUAUACUGGUGGCCAAACAUGAAAGCCGAGAUCGCUACCUUCGUGGGCAAGUGUCUGACUUGCGCCAAGGUCAAGGUCGAAUAUCAGAAGCCCUCAGGUCUACUUCAGUAGCCGGAAAUACCUGAGUGGAAGUGGUAAAGGAUAACCAUGGAUUUUAUCACCAAGUUACCCAGAUCUCCGAGUGGGCACGAUGCCAUAUGGGUAAUUGUUGAUCGGUUGACGAAGUCCGCCCACUUUCUGCCAAUCAAAGAAAGCUUCAAAAUAGAGAGACUCACACAAAUCUACCUUCAAGAAAUAGUUCGUCUUCAUGGUAUACCUGCAUCCAUCAUCUCCGAUUGAGACAGCAGGUUUACAUCAAGGUUCUGGCAGUCCUUGCAAAAGGCUCUUGGAACUAAAUUGGAUAUGAGCACGGCUUAUCAUCCGCAAACUGAUAGACAAAGUGAGAGAACAAUUCAGACCUUGGAAGAUAUGUUGAGAGCCUGUGUCAUUGACUUCGGCGCAUCAUGGGACACUCAUCUUCCUUUGAUUGAAUUCUCUUAUAACAACAGCUACCAUACCAGUAUCAAGGUUGCCCCGUUCGAAGCCCUCUAUGGUCGUAAGUGCAGAUACCCUCUGUGUUGGGAGGAGGUGGGCGACACCCAGCUAGCCAAGAGACGAGUCCCCGAUAGUACUCUCACUGGUCCUGAAAUCAUCCGCGAAACCACCGAAAAGAUCAUUCGAAUCCGAGAACGACUGAAAGCUUCACGAGACAGACAAAAGAGCUACGCCGAUAAGAGACGAAAAUCCUUGGAGUUCCAGGUUGGUGACCAUGUCCUUCUGAAGGUCUCACCCUGGAAAGGCAUGAUACGGAAAGCGUGAAAACUUAAACCCAAGGUAUAUAGGACCGUUCGAAAUCCUUGCUAGGAUUGGUCUCAUAGCCUACAAACUUCGUCUACUGCAUGAACUCAGUAACAUUCACCCUGUCUUCCACGUUUCAAAUCUUCAAAAGUGCUUAUCUGAUGAAACUCUUGUGAUCCCUCUCAACGAUAUUGAAAUCAACGAGAACCUCAACUUCGUGGAAGAACCGGUCGAAAUUGUGGACAGAGAGAUCAAAAGAACGAAACAAAGUCGCAUCCAUAUAGUGAAGGUUCGCUGGAAUGCCAAGCGGGGACCUGAAUUCACUUGGGAGCACGAAGAUCAGAUGCAACAGAAGUAUCCACAUCUCUUUCCAAAUCCAUGAUUUUUAUCUUAUUUCCAAAUUUCGGGACGAAAUUUCCUCUAACGGGGGGAUGAUGUGACAACCCAAAAUUUAUUCCGUCAAUGUAACCCACUUCCGUUAAUAAAAUUUAUUUUAUUAAAAUUUUUCCAUUAACUUCUUAAGUUAAGUAAAUCAAUUGGAGUUAUUGUCGUAAUUUCAUACGUGACGGAAAACGAAAAAUCACGCGAAAACCCCGUUUGCGGUUAGUGUUUGGAGGACCCCCACCCCGGCCGUAAACUCAACCCUAUAUAAGGGUUGAGUGGUCUUCAUUCCCACCUUUUUCACACUCUAGAAACUUUCUCUCUCUACUCUCUCUCUACAAAUUCGGGUUUUGAUCAAGAAACACUCCUUCAAGCUUCACAUAAGUAAGUAAACCUCCUCCUAACUAGUUGUUUGCUUAGCAUACUUGCAAAUCUAUGGAUUAAACAUCUGAAAAGCCCAAGAACAUUGGGUUUACAGUUUGGGAACCUCCCAAAACCGUAAACACCCCAAAAAGGGGUUUUGAUGCCCCAAACUCCUUCCAAUGCUUGGUUAAUGAACUAGAAACUUGCAUGAAUGAUCUAAGAACCCCAAAACAUGAAAUGAAAGGAGUAAACAUGAGUUUAUGGUUUGGGGACCUCCCAGAACCGUAAACACCUUCUAAGGGUGUGAAAUUGCCCUUAACACCUUCUAUGGCUUAUAUAAGUGACCAGAACUUUAUCUGCUUAACCUAGAUGCACUAAAACACAUAAGGAAGAGACAAACAUGAGUUUACGGCCGUAAACUCAUGUGUUUACGGUAUUAAACUCCCCAAAGAGGGAUUCAAAAACCGUAAACUCCAUAAAGGGUCCAUUUCAAGCCCCAAACACUUCCAUAGCCCUUGAUUCGAGUCUACCAUAAUUCUUUGAGUAGUUUAAGACCUUUGAGCAGCCAAUAACACCAUUUCCAUGAGUUUACAGCCGUAAACUCAUAGGGGAAAUGGUCCCAGAACCAUAAACACCCCUAAGGGCCCCUAUUUGAAGAGUAAACUCCAUAGUGAGGCCAUACAUUCCUUAGAUGCAACUCGUCUCACUCCUAACACUUGUGGUAAAGUGUUUUCAUGUAUUAGCACUACUAGAAAAACAACCUUUUACGACGCUCAUUGUGCGUCGUAAAAGGCUCAGACGACGCGCAAAUGUGCGUCAAGGAAGGCCCUGUCAUAAAGAGAGACGACGUGCUUUUGCGCGUCGUCUAUAGACGACGCGCAUUUACGACGCUCAUUUAUGACGCGCAAUUACGACGCGCGUUUACGACACGCAAUGCGUAUCAAGAAAGGCACUGUCAUAAAGGAAGACGACACGCAUUCGCGUGUCGUAACCUUACGAUGCGCGUGUUAAUGACAUGUAAUGCGUAUCAAGAAAGCCCCUGUCAAGAAAGGCCAUGUCAUAAAUGAACAUGACACACAUUUUUGCGUAUCAUAAUUUUAAAUGUUUAAAAAAAUAUUAUUUCUAGAUUUACUUAUUUUUAAAUUAGAUUUGUAUUUAAUGCUUCAUAAUAGAAAAUAAAAUUUCAUAUAUAAAAGAUAGAAUCCAUUGCAUAAAUUUAAUGUCAUACAAAUAAUUUUUCCAUGGAAAGAUAAAACAAAUCAAUAGAAGUUGUAACAAAAAUUUACAAACAAAUUAGAUACAAAAAAAUACAAUCCAUUGCCCUUUGCUUAUUCAAGAUCAACUUGCAAGUAGCUAACUAAUCUGUACAAAUUCACCCUUGUUUCUAAUCGUUUUCUUAAAUACUUUACAAACAUAAUUCAUCCAUAGUACCUAAACUAUAGUUGCAGCCUUGUUUCUUCUUCUUCUGAACUCAUCUCUUGCAACCAUUUCUCUAAGCCUAGUCUGAAUAGAUACAACAGCUCCUUGUCAAUUAUGUGAAAAAUACAACCGGAGAUGGCCUACCUUCAUAAUACCAACAACUAACGAAGUAGGAAUGAAAGAGAAGGCAAGACUCACAACAAUAGUUGUAGUGAAUGCAUCUAGGUCCUACAAGAUCAUAUAAAUCACUAUUUAAAUACACACUACAUAUAAAGGUGUCAAUAUUCUGAUUGCAUGUACUUAAUAUAUAAAGACUCCAACAAUAAAUAGAUAUGUUAUGUUACCUUGAGACACCUUUGAAGGGGAUCCAAAAGAUAAUUUGUAGUCUUAUCAACUUGGAUGAAUCCCAUUGUUGUAACAAACAGAUAUUUCAACAAGAAUAUGACUAACCAGAUAUAUAAACAUGUAUGUAUAAUUAAUAAAACACAAUUAAAUGAUGAAGAUAUAAGAUUCUGUUAUUCAAGAUUCUGAAAUUUUUGUAAUUGUUUUUUGUUAUUUUUUUCUCAAUUUAAUAUAAGGGGCGGGACACAAACAAUAUAAUUAAGGGGCAAGAGGUUACACAUUUUUAAUACAUAUAACUAUUAUAUUUUAGUAGUUAUUCUUUUUUUCACCAUUAUUUAUGGUCAAAGUGAAGCAACCCUUGGUGAGUUGAUGCACCUUCUUCACUUGACCACUAAUUUAGAAAUGCAUGUCCGAUGUCAAUCUUUUCUCUAAAGAUCUACUGUUUGGAAACUUGGUAAGAUUAAAAAUCUUUGUAGGAAUGGUUAGCCAUGUGAUCAGUUACUCACGUACAGUCUGUGUAAGCUUUUCCACCUGAUCAGCAACCUUUUGUCGAUGCAUUUUAUCCAUAAUUUUAUUUUCCUCCUAAAAAACAAAACUAUUAUUUUAUUUUCCACCAUGAAAUCGAUAUUAUUUAAAGAUUUAAAUAUUAAAGGCAUCAUACCUAACAAAUUUCUAUUAGUUUCAUCAACUCCUGAUUCUUGUUUUGAAGAUUAUCCACCAUUGAAGCUUUUGCUAAUGCAACUUAAACAGUCCUUUCAGCGUCAAGUAAAGCAGCUUCCUUUGACUUGGUCAAUCCAUCUAAUGCUUUGUUGUCAUCUGGUAACUUUGCAAUCUGAAAGACAAAAAGGAAGCAUGAGAUUUUUAUAGUUCCUAAAAUUAUUUUGUAGCACAUACCUUUUAUCGAGCAAGUUUGAGGUCAGCCUCCAAUGGUGCAAGAAUGGCUUCAAUUGGUGACAUGUCAUCAUCUUUUAUAGCAACAUGAACUCUUCAUAGAGUGGCUUCUUUUGCAAAUUGUGCUGCCAUUGAUGCUUUCUUUUCAUCAUUGAUAUUCUUGAUUUCAAGAUUUUACAAUAACAAAAAGUAUAUCUUGUUAUAUGUAAUAAUAUGAUGAAAACAAUGUAAAAGGGGUUGAGUGUUGAGGUGGUUUAGUCAAUACUUUGCUUUCUAGAAGAUAUUCUAUCAACUUCAGGUUCUCAUCUACCUUUGACAAUUAUUCAGUUAGCUAUGGUGACAUGAAAAAAAGAAGAAAACUAUGUCAAAGUUAACCCCUAGUGUAUAGAUAUGACAUUAUGAAAAAUACAAGAGAUAAUCAAAGGGAAAAAUGGGAAACACAAUAAUCACAUAACUACCUCGUGAUUAUUGAAGCUUUUGCACACAUUACAUCAUUACUAACAGGUGCAAAUCCAUUUCCAAAUCAAAGAUUCAACCCCAUAAGAUUUUAAUGAGAAGUAUUCACAAGAAUAGUAACAUCUUAAUUUCCAUCAUUACCCAUUAAUGACCAACCCUCAUCAGAAAACCCAUUCAAAGCUUCAUUAAAACCCCUGAAGAAUAAAAAAUUUACAAAUUAACCCCCUUAAAACUUAUCUAAUUGCAAAAUGGUCCUUAUGGAUUUCCUCUGACUUAAUCCUAUUAAUGUUGCAGGUAUUCUCUCCUAAUUUGCACUACUAGAAUUCUAAGCUUAUAGAGCUAUCUGUCUUAGCUGGCGUAAAUCCUGCCACAUAUUCAAUUUUCUAUUAAUUAAGUAAAAUGACAUAAGGGUAUAUUUGGAAACGUUAUGGAUUUGAAAUGUUGUAUUACCAUCAUUGUUGUUUUUUGAGCAAGAAUAGUUGGAGAUUCAUAUAAAGGACGCAAGACUUUAGGUACCCUCCAUGCCUAAUGAAUUAUAUAAUAAACUAAUUUAGAAUAUUAAUGGAGUUUAAAUAUGANAUAUUGUUUGUGAUGAUACCUCUAAGUUCAUACAAUUGGCAAUGUUAAUAAUGGAGCCACAACAUCUUCAUAAGUAGGAGGUAUCCCUUCUGGUGAUUUCUGAGAUUGAUCAUCAGCUUUCACAUUGCUUCCUCUGCAAUAAAAACAAACACAUCACCAAAAUGGGUCCNCUUCUGCCAUAGUUUUCAACAUCAAAGCUUCUUCUACCUUUGUUGUAUGCAUCAUCUUUAGUAGUACAAAGUGAAAAUCUUCUAUGUCGUUUGUGAUUAAAAGGAAGAUUUUUGUAAAUUCUGGGAGUUUUAUAACAAGGGAUCAGAAAUUAAAAUUUUUGAAACAUCGGUGGUAGUGGUUGUGGAGGUGAGAAAUGAUUGUGGAGGCUGUGAAAGUGACAAAAUGGUAAAUUGCCAAAAUAACCCUACAUGAACUUUGGAAAUGAUGGGUAACAGAGUAUAUAUUUACCUCUCUAAGUACAGGGAACUAAAAAUUUCUAGCAUAAAGAGUCCCAGCCUGCAGUAAAUUACCAAAAUAACCCUACAUGAACUUUGGAUUAUGGAGGCUGUGAAGUCAAAAAGAGUUUCAGCCAGCAGAAAUUUUAAUUUAAAUAUAUUAUAUACAUUAUUUAAUUAUGAUUGACAUAUGUUGGCCCAUCUGCCUAUCCAAUUCUUAGUUGUUUGAUUUCAUGCCUGCUCACAUCAGCAAAUAUGUUGGAUGGUGGUGUUUAUAGAAACGACUUAUGAAUUUAUCAUUUGAUCAACUUCUUUCAGCUUCUCCUUGAUCUGCUUUAACAAAUGAAGAAUCCCAGGUGUCUGCACAAUUAACAACAAAUCAGAACAUUAGAAAGAUAAAGUGAUAUGAAGAUGUAUAAGGGAAAAUUAGUUAUUUGAUGACAUCCAUUGGAGCUAAUAGCGUACCUUGUUAUUUCCUACAAUUUUCCUUAAAAAUUUAACAUAAAUUUUGAGGUAUGUUGUUAUCAUAACCAAUUUGGUGAUAUCCAUCAUCAUUUUUUUGAAGUAUAUAUCCUAAUUGUUCAUGCAUUCACACAAAUGUAGAUAUAUCAAACAACAUAGGGAUAGUGCAUUGUGUAAGUCAUUUCUUGGGGUAGCAUUACCUUGCAUGUAGUCAUCUAGUAAUGGUGUCACCCUUUCUGUCAAUGAUUACAAUAAGUGUCACUUAGUGUAGAUAUUUCAUAGAUAUGUUAUACUACAGUUGCUUGUGGUAGUACCUGAAUCAUGAUUUUUCAGUUACUAGCUUCUUCCAUACCUAAUAUAGGAGAUAAUAUCGACAUUAGAAUGUGUUCUAGACAAUAAAUGCAUGUAUGAAGACGAUUUAAUGAUAGCAUAUUCCAUGAUAACAUGAAACGUCCAAUUAAUAAUAUUGCUCCAGCUCUACCAUCAUUAAUAGCAUGGUAUAAGUGGUACAUACAUGAAUAUGAUACAUCUAGUCUUCAGGGGUAAAAGAGGUAUUUUCUUUCACCUGAAACUAUAGCCUUCCUAACUUCUAUAUGGAAAUAGAAUUUAAGAAGUGGUACUAAUGUUGGUGCAACCUGUUUUUUAUUAAAAAGUUAAGCUGAUUUUUUUCAAAUGUAAAAAGACAAGAAAGGGUAAAAGAGGAAUUUCAUUUCACCUGAUCAAUCCAUGGGAAAAACACUUCUUUUAAUUCAUUAGCAUAGCAGCAUAGCAUGUUGCAUGAUGUAGCUUUCUCGUCAAGGACACUAGUUUUGAUCCCUAUUCUCUUCUCUCCAAGUGUAAUAGUCUCAAUGCUGCACCAUCAAAGGGUAAAAUGGUCAUUAACUCUCAUUCAAACAUUUCAUUUAUUAAAAAUCACACCUUUCAUCAUCAGACUCGUCAAUAUCAUCAUCUGAAUCAUCAGCAGAAGUAAUUGUAACAUCUGGUUUAAGUUGAACAAAAUGAAGCAAUGGUGGCAUCACAACAUUCAUGUAAGGGAGAAAAUCUUGCCCUAGGCACUUGCAGAAUCUUGCCCAUGCCUACAACAAAAAUAUAUAAUUAUAAAUUUAUAAUCCUUAAUUCAAUUUGUUUUAAAAGAUUAAGUUUAAGAACAGAAAAAGAAAAGAAGCAUACUUGUAACAUGUAGCUUAUUGUUGGAUCAUUUGUCUCCAAUUGGGAACCUUGAAGUGACAUAAGGACAUCCAUAACCUAGAAACAUGUAAUAAAUUAUAACUUUCAAAGAUGAAAAAAUAAAAACAUUUGUGAAUUACAUAUUUAUAAAUAUAUAUAAGUAUACCUGUUUAGCAUCAUCUUUGAACUUAUCUUUUCCAACUAAACUAAUACACUCCAUGGAUUUGGCACGAAGCAUACAAUUAGCUUUAUCAGUUGCAUUCAUGAGUAUAGCUUUGAAGUAUGGCAUAACUGCAUCAUAAUACUUUUGAAAAUGCUCCUGGAAGCACCCCUUCUGAUUCAAGCUCACUUAUGAUGCUCUGUACGACCUAAUAACAAACAAAGUGUUAUUCAGAUUUCUCAAUCAGCUCCAAAAAACUUAAUUUUUUUAUUGAAACAGCCAAAAAAAUGACAAGGAGGCACACAUACGUGAGGGAAGCAUAUAGGAAUUCCCAUGUCAACUUCAAUCAGACAAAGGUGGGUCAACAGAAACAGGAUACCAUCGGAUGACUUUUAGUUCAGACAAAAAACUAGUCUCCUGGCAUUUCAUCGAACAGCUUGCCUACAUAAUCUUCAUGAAAUGCAUCAGGAGUGUUCCUUGAGUAGUUAUUUGCUUCUUCAUCUGGCCCAAACUCAUUAAAACAGAAUUAUAUAUAUAAUGGAAAUGUAUUUAGAAUAUACCUUUGUGGUUCUUGCAAAGAUCCAGUAUUAGUAAGGACAAAGGGAGUCAUCAUAAGUUCUUUCUUGAAGGAGCUAUAUUCCUUAAUCAAAACACUAAUUUCAUCAAAAAUAGACAAGAGAAUCCUAGGCUCAGAGACAAGUUCUGGAAUGCGAUUGAACAUAUAGCCUUUAUAAAAUUGGACUCGAGAAGGUUCUCUGAUGUCUAAUGAAAUACAUCGUUGGAGUCUGGUGAGAGCAUUAUCUAGAUUAGGAUUGCGAGAACUAGAAGCUGCAACAUAAAUACAUAUAUUAUAUAGAUAUAUCAUAUCUUUCUUCGAUUUCCUGCUUCUAAUCCCAGAACGUGAACAAUAGCUCUUCUUCCUCCUCCUUGACCUGGAAUCAUAUGAAUCGUCUGAACCAUUGAUGAGAAGAACUUAAAGAUGAAAGAUGGAAACAGAGGUGGAGGAGAAUAAGGGAAACUAGAUACAAUAAAAAUGAAGGCCAAAGACCACCUAAGAAGUGAUCGAUGCCAAAAAAAGGGGGGAAAUAAAAAUCGCUAAAAUCACAUGAGAGAAUCCAUGAAUUUUAGGGAAAAUACCACCUGUUGUUUGGGGUUUUUCUUAGUAGCAGGAUUUUUAUAAUUCUUUUGGGAUUUCGUUCUGUAAUUUUUGGGAGUGCAAAUCGAUGAUUGAUGGUAGAAGGGUUUUUUUACAGAGAAUGAAGAUCUAGAGGAGAGGGUGAGGAUGCGUAUCACGAGUGGUUUAAAAUACGUGAUAGGGGUUUUAUUAUCGGUGUAGUGUAACAGUAAAUAAUGGUUAGAGAAGAUGGUCGGAGACACUUGGUGGUGCGAGAUCGGAGGUUAGGUGGUGGUGCGAUGUUGCUAUGAAGACGAAGGCCUAGGGCACUUUCUUGCUAAUUAGAAGAGGCGGGGGGGGGGGGGUUAAUUUUUGGGAUUCAAUAGGCGGGUGAAAUCCCGCCUUAAAAACGCAUGUUUCAUUAAAAUAUUAUAAAGCGACACAUUUAGAUGACGCAUAUUUUAUAAAAGGCACCCUCCGCAUUUCCUUUUUUUCUUUUCUGACACUAAUUUUAGGGCACGCACAAAUGCGUGCCCUCUAUCCUUCAAAUUUUUCAAAAUUGACAUUAUUUUUUAGGGCACACACAAAUGCGCGUCUUCUAUCAGAGAGUAUCAUUGUUUGCGCGUCAUUAAAGGGCUUUUUUCUAGUAUUGUAGGAGGUCCUUACUUGUAUAAUUAGUUACUAAAUGACUAAUUAGAUACCUUUAUGUCUCACUUCAUGUUACAUAGGAUCUGUGGGUGUGUUCAAGUCCUCACUUAACACCUAGCAUCCUACCCGACACUUCCAUCCAUUCCACUCACUACAAGUGAGUUCAUACCCCUACACUUUUUUUUUCCGAGUUUUUCACGAGUUCAGGGGGGAAUACAAGCAAAAGUACAAGGGAACUUGUAGUCAAAACCUAUUAUUUCGUAUGAAAUACUAACAUGUUCAAUAUGCUUUUAACACACAAAACCGUUUUUCCAACCGAUUAGGAAAUCAACUUGUAGAGAUAGUUUUCAAACUAAAGCAAAGAAACUCGUGAAUCGCAUCAUAAAAUGUUAUAUUUUAUAUUUUACAAAGGAUUCAUGCAAAUCAUAAAAUGGGAUUUUCCAUAUUAUUACUUGUAAAUUCAUUAUUCUUAAGAUUGGAGACACGUCCUUGGGAACACUCCACCAGAAUAUACGAGUGUAGGACUAACCCUGUAACCAGAAUCUCUUGGAGGGAGAACGUAACUAUUGUGUAUAGAUCUAUACGGGACUGACUACCCUGCACCUCACUGCUAGCUACAGUGGGACCGGCAAGUCUACGGGUGACAAAGUCAUAAGAGAUAUUGGCCCCC
RNAcentral lists this long non-coding RNA (60213 nucleotides) under Lactuca sativa (garden lettuce). Its description in RNAcentral is "long non-coding RNA (LSAT_LNC001462)". The record is from RNAcentral. Lineage: Eukaryota; Viridiplantae; Streptophyta; Magnoliopsida; Asterales; Asteraceae.